Molecule: long non-coding RNA, 65413 nt
Filed under: Hordeum vulgare
Lineage: Eukaryota; Viridiplantae; Streptophyta; Magnoliopsida; Poales; Poaceae
Description: long non-coding RNA (HVUL_LNC010282)
Source: RNAcentral
AUAGCAUGUAGAGCAAUUUACUCUCAUCGCUGCUGCUCAGACGCACAAACGGACAGACCCCAGAUGACAUAAAACAGCAGACAUCAAGGGGCACCAUCAAAGAUCCGAGGUCGACAAUUUAUUGAAACUCCUCGAAGAAAUGAAACCUUCCAUUUGUGCAACAAGUAGGCAUUGAAAAUAGAAAGCGACUCCCAAAUAAGGUCAACCUAGUUUGCUUUAUUUUACAUGACAUAAGAUCGACAGGAGGCUCAAAAGAGUGCUGGUAAAAUGCCAGUUUAUGAGAUGAAUCACUUUCUGGCAGAUCUAAGGGGCUCACACCGACUGCGCUUUCCUUCAUUGGGUGCUUGUUGCCAGUGCAACGAUCUCAUAGCUGCAGGCUGCCGAACAAAACAAAACAAACAGCAGUCAGUGUAACUGUCAAGUAGAUCACCCAUAAUCAGAUGCAACAACAGGUGCCACCACAAUCUACAAGGCCGAUGAAAUAAAGCACAUAUUUCAAUAUUUGUUCGAUGCCGGAAAAGGUCAACUAAGUACUACAUGCCUCUGUAAACAUAUAUAAGACAUUUUAGGUUGUCUUAUACAUGUUUAAGGGGGGAUAGCAUUGUGUGCUACACAAGAUUUCUCUUCAGAGGUUGAGAGAUUCAGUUUCAAACCUACUGCCUACCGUAAUGAAGAACAUGUUUCUAAACUUCAAGGAUUAUGUGCAGUCUGCCGGUAUGAAAAAGACAACUGUAUUCAGACCUACUGCACACUUCAAGACAAAGCAUGCCCUGAAAAUUGGUGAGAUGAAUAAGUAACUUNNNNNNNNNNNNNNNNNNNNNNNNNNNNNNNNNNNNNNNNNNNNNNNNNNNNNNNNNNNNNNNNNNNNNNNNNNNNNNNNNNNNNNNNNNNNNNNNNNNNAUAUCCUUAAGCUGUUUCCUUUCUCUCUAAAGGAUGACGCUAAAGCUUGGUUCACCUCCCUUGCUCCUGGAUGUGUGAGUAGUCCCGAGGAUAUGGUCUAUUACUUCUGUGAGAAAUAUUUCCCUGCCCAUAAGAAGCAAGCUGCCUUGCAGGAAAUAUGUAACUUUGCUCAACACAAAGAAGAGAGUCUCCCACAAGCUUGGGGGAGGCUCAUCCAGGUACAUAAUGCUUUGCCUGAUCACCCUCUUAAGAAGAACGAGAUACUUGAUAUCUUCUAUAACGGAGUUACCGAUGCUUCUAGAGACCACCUAGACAGUUGUGCCGGUUGUGUUUUUAGGGAACGAACUAUAGAACAAGCUGAGAUUCUACUGAAUAACAUCUUGAUCAACGAUAAUGCUUGGACUAUUCCCGAACCACCUCCUAAGACAACUCCUAAGAAAAGAGGUAUUCUAUUCCUCAAUCCCGAUGAUAUGCAAGAAGCCAAGAAAUCUAUGCAAGAGAAAGGCAUUAGAUCUGAAGAUGUCAAAAAUCUACNNNNNNNNNNNNNNNNNNNNNNNNNNNNNNNNNNNNNNNNNNNNNNNNNNNNNNNNNNNNNNNNNNNNNNNNNNNNNNNNNNNNNNNNNNNNNNNNNNNNAAAAAAAUGUUUCACUCCUUUUGUAAAAUAUACCCCAACUCUAAAGAUAGUUCGGGCAUUUUCUUAAACAAAUAAAAUGAAACUCUAUUAAGAUUUAAAAUAAAACCCUACUUAAAAGAAUUUACAAAGAGAUCAAAACCCUUUUUUUUAAAUAAUUAAAAUAAAGCUCUUUUAACAAGAAGAUAAAAAUAACCCCUUUUCNNNNNNNNNNAAAAGAAUUAAAAUAAAGCUCUUUUAACAAGAAGAUAAAAAUAACCCCUUUUCGAAAGAAUUAAUUAAAGCCUCUUUAUUCAAAGAAUAAACAAGAGCCUUUUAAAAGAGAAAAUAAAAUGGGAGGGCUUUUAAAAUGAAGCAAACGAAGAGUAAAAUUAAAACCUAAGGGUUGCCCCUACAUUUAAUAAAAGGACUUUUUAACAGAAGACGAAUUACUUUGGAAGAGGGGUAAAGUUAGAAAUCUUUAGCAAAACCACAAAACAACUUAGGAGGGGAGAGGAGGGGAGAAGGUCUGCGGUGCAAUGGGGUUUAGCGGUGGCUCUCACGCUCCCUCUCUCAUCGCGGNNNNNNNNNNNNNNNNNNNNNNNNNNNNNNNNNNNNNNNNNNNNNNNNNNNNNNNNNNNNNNNNNNNNNNNNNNNNNNNNNNNNNNNNNNNNNNNNNNNNGCAUGCAAGCUUGGGGGAGGCUUAAAUCAAUGUUAUAUUCAUGCCCCAACCAUGAGCUCUCGAGAGAAAUUAUCAUUCAGAACUUCUAUGCUUGACUUUGUCAUGAUGAUCGCACCAUGCUUGACACUUCUUGUACCGGUUCUUUUAUGAAGAGUGAUAUUGACUUCAGAUGCAAUUUAUUGGAAAGAAUUAAAUGCAACUCUGAAGAUUGGGAGCUUGAUGAAGGUAAGGAGCCAGGUAUGAAUUUCAAGUUUGAUUGCGUUAAAAACUUUGUCGAAACAAAUACUUUUUGUGAUUUUAGCGCUAAGUAUGGACUUGACUCUGAGAUAGUAGCUUCAUUCCUUUGCUCCUCAUAUUGAUCUCCCCAAAGAGAAGUGGUUUAAAUAUCAUCCUCCCUUAGAAGUAAAUGUAGUUAAACCCACUCCAGUUGAAGAGAAAGUCAUUUCCUAUAAUGAUCCUAUUGUUCCCAGUGCUUACAUUGAGAAACCACCUUUCCUUGUUAGGAUAAAGGAUCAUUCUAAAGCUUCAACUGUGAUACAUAGAGGCUACAUUAGAACACCUACACCCCCUGAGAAAAUUAGAGUUGAACCUAACAUUGCUAUUAUCAAAGAUCUCCUGUCCGACAAUGUUGAUGGCCAUGAUAUUCACUUAUGUGAAGAUGCUGCUAGAAUUGCUAAACCACACGCUAGAGACAAACAUAGGCAUGUUGUUGGCACGCCUGUUUUUUUCGUUAAGAUAGGAGAUCAUUGUUAUCAUGGUUUAUGUGACGUGGGUGCUAGUGUUAGUGCAAUACCUACAUCCUUAUAUGAUGAAAUCAAAGACGAGAUUGCACCUAUUGAGAUAGAGCCUAUUGAUGUCACUAUUCAGCUUGCCAAUAGAGAUAAUAUCUUCCCUAUGGGGAUUGUUAGGGAUGUUGAAGUCUUGUGUGGUAAAACGAAGUAUCGUGCUGAUUUCCUCGUUCUUGCUACCACACAAGAUAGCUUUUGUCCCAUCAUAUUUGGCAGGCCUUUUCUCAAUACUGUCAAUGCUCAUAUUGACUGUGAGAAGCAAACGGUCACUGUUGGCUUUGAAGGUGUGUCACAUGAGUUCAAUUUCUCCAAGUUUGGUAGACAACCUCAUGAAAAAGAUUUGCCUAGUAAGGAUGAAACUAUUGCCUUAGCUUCUAUUGUCGUGCCUCCUACUGAUCCCUUAGAGCAAUACUUGCUUGAGCAUGAAAAUGAUAUGCAUAUGGAUGAAAGGGAUGAGAUAGAUAGAGUUGUCUUAGAACAAUAUCCUAUCCUUAAGAAUAAUCUGCCUCUUGAACUGCUUGGGGAUCCACCCCCACCAAAGGAUGAUCCUGUGUUCGAGAUUAAACAGUUGCCUAAUACUCUUAAGUAUGCUUAUUUUGAUGAAAAAGAGAUAUAUCCUGUUAUUAUUAGUGCUAGCCUCUCAGAGCAUGAAGAAAAGAUGUUAUUAAAAACCCUGAGGAAGCACCGUGCUGCUAUUGGAUAUACUCUUGAUGAUCUUAAGGGCAUUAGUCCCACUCUAUGCCAGCACAAGAUUAAAACCGAUCCUGAUUCCAAACUAGUUGCUGAUCUUCAAAGGAGAUUAAAUCCUAAGAUGAAAGAGGUAGUAAGAAAAGAAAUACUACAGCUCCUGGCAGCGGUACUACCUAUCCUAUUGCUCAUAGUGAUUGGGUCAGUCCGGUGCAUUGCGUCCCUAAGAAGGGAGGCAUUACCGUUGUCCCUAAUGAUAAGGAUGAAUUGAUCCCACAGAGGAUUAUUACUAGCUAUAGGAUGGUGAUCAAUUUUAGGAAAUUGAAUAAAGCCACUAGGAAAGAUCAUUACCCUUUGCCUUUUAUCGACCAAAUGCAAGAAAGACUGUCUAAACACACACACUUCUGCUUUCUAGACGGUUAUUCUGGUUUCUCUCAAAUACAAGUUGCACAAGCUGAUCAGGAGAAAAACACUUUCACCUGCCCUUUCGGUACCUUUUCUUAUAGACGUAUGCCUGUUGGCUUAUGUAAUGCACCUGCCACCUUUCAAAGAUGUAUGAUGGCUAUAUUCUUUGACUUUUGUGAAAAGAUUGUUGAGGUUUUCAUGGAUGACUUCUCCGUUUACGGGUCUUCUUUUGAUGAUUGCCUCAGAAACCUUGAUCGAGUCUUGCAGAGAUGUAAAGACACCAACCUUGUCUUGAAUUGGGAGAAGUGCCACUUUAUGGUUAAUGAAGGCAUGUUCUUAGGACAUAAAAUUUCUGAAAGAGGUAUUGAAGUCGAUAAGGCUAAUGUUGAUGCAAUCAAGAAAAUGCCAUACCCCACAGAUAUCAAAGGUAUAAGAAGUUUCAUUGGUCAUGCUGGUUUCUAUAGAAGGUUCAUUAAAGACUUCUCUAAGAUUUCUAGGCCUCUUAACAAUCUCUUGCAAAAGGAUAUUCCUUUUGUUUUUGACGAUGAUUGUGAGGAAGCCUUAUAAAUACUUAAGAAGGCUUUGAUAACUGCACCUAUUGUUCAACCAGCUGAUUGGAACUUACCUUUUGAAAUCAUGUGUGAUGCUAGUGAUUAUGCUGUUGGUGCUAUCCUAGGGCAAAGAGUCGAUAAGAAGUUGAAUGUUAUUCACUAUGCUAGUAAAACUCUAGACAGUGCCCAAAGAAACUAUGCUAUUACGGAAAAGGAAUUUUUCGCAGUCGUGUUUGCAUGUGAAAAGUUCAGGUCCUACAUAGUUGAUUCCAAAGUCACUAUUGACAUUAAUCAUGCUGCUAUUAAGUACGUCAUGGAGAAGAAAGACGCUAAACCUAGACUUAUCAGAUGGGUUCUCUUGCUACAAGAAUUUGAUUUGCAUGCUGUCGACAGGAAGGGUGCUGAUAACCCAAUAGCAGAUAACUUGUCUAGGUUGGAGAAUGUUCUUGUUGACCCACAACCUAUUGAUGAUAGCUUUCCUGAAGAGCAACUGAAUGUCAUCAAUACUUCACGUAGUGCACCAUGGUAUGCUGCAAAUUAUAUCGUUGCCAAAUAUAUACCACCUAGUUUCACAUACCAGCAAAAGAAGAAGUUCUUCUUUGAUUUGAGACAUUACUUCUCGGACGAUCCUCACCUUUAUAAGGAAGGAGUAGAUGGUAUUAUUAGACGUUGUGUACCUGAACAUGAACAGGGACAGAUCCUAUAGAAGUGUCACUCCAAGGCUUACGGAGGACAUCAUGUGGGAGAUAGAACUGCACACAAGGUAUUGCAAUCAGGUUUCUAUUGGCCCACUCUCUUCAAGGAUGCCCGUAAGUUUGUCUUGUCUUGUGACGAAUGUCAAAGAAUAGGCAAUAUCAGUAAACGUCAGGAAAUGCCUAUGAAUUAUUCACUUGUCACUGAACCAUUUGAUGUUUGGGGCUUUGAUUAUAUGGGACCUUUUCCAAAAUCCAACGGGUAUACUCAUAUCUUAGUUGUUGUUGAUUACGUCACUAAGUGGGUAGAAGCUAUCCCAACUAGUAGUGCUGAUCACAACACCUCUAUCAGGAUACUUAAAGAAGUUAUUUUCCCUAGAUUUGGAGUCCCUAGAUAUCUAAUGACCGACGGUGGUUCACAUUUCAUUCAUGGUGCUUUCCGUAAAACGCUUGCUAAGUAUGAUGUCAACCAUAGAAUUGCGUCCCCCUAUCACCCUCAGUCUAGUGGUCAAGUAGAGCUAAGAAAUAGAGAGAUUAAACUAAUUCUGCAAAAGACUGUCAACAGGUCUAGAAAGAAUUGGUCUAAGAUGCUCGAUGAUGCACUAUGGGCUUAUAGAACUGCCUAUAAGAAUCCCAUGGGCAUGUCCCCGUACAAAAUGGUUUACGGCAAAGCCUUUCAUUUACCUCUUGAGCUAGAGCAUAAGGCUUAUUGGGCAAUCAAAGAGCUCAACUUUGAUUUCAAACUUGCUGGUGAGAAGAGGUUAUUUGAGAUUAUCUCACUUGAUGAAUGGAGAACUUAGGCAUAUGAGAAUGCCAAGUUGUUCAAAGAAAAGGUUAAGAGGUGGCAUGAUAAAAGGAUAAAAAAGCGUGAGUUCAAUGUAGGUGAUUAUGUCUUGCUAUAUAAUUCUCGUUUAAGAUUUUUUGCAGGCAAGCUUCUCUCUAAAUGGGAAGGUCCUUACAUUGUUGAGGAAGUAUAUCGUUCCGGUGCUAUCAAGAUCAACAACACGGUAGGUAAUUGUCCGAGAGUGGUAAAUGGGCAGAGAAUCAAGCAUUAUAUCUUAGGUACUCCCAUAAAUGUUGAAAGCAAUAUUAUCAAUACCAUAACUCCGGAGGAGUACCUAAGGGAUAUUUAUCAGCCUGUUUCAGACUCCGAAAACGAAGAGGUAUGUGAUUCGGUAAGGAAACGGACUCCAAAACUUUUCCAGUAGGAACUUUUCUCCGUUUUGGAAUUUUUGAAAAAAUAGAAAAUUUUGAAGUAGUCCGGAAAGCGCACGAGGAGGCGACAAGCCUGCCAGGCCCGGGCCACCCCCUGGCCGUGCCUGGGGGGCUUGUGGCCACCUCGUGUGCCUCCCGGACUCUAUUUUCUUGCGGAGUACUCCUUGUGGUAUGGAAAAAAAUCAUUAUAUAUUCUCCCGAAAGGUCUGACCCUCGUGUCACGCAAUUUUCCUCUGUUUUCGUUUCGAGCCUGUUUUCUGCCGCAGAUUUAGGGCAAGAUGUCUUCUCAAGAUUCAGAGGGGGAGAGCUAUGUGGCCGAUUACCUUGCCAACCCCAAGGUCUAUGGGGACUUGGAUCCUUAUGGUUGGACCACUGAUGAGGAAGAAUAUUAUGAUCCCAAGGGGAAGGAACGAACAAGUUUUGAUGAGGAGGAGGCUCCUCUACCUCAACUUGGACACACGCAUGUGGAGUUCAAGAAGUUGAGCCUCCCUAACUCAAGGAAGAAGACUAAGACUUUGUUUAUCCCUUCUCGUUUCUUGCAGGAGAGUAAGCAGGAAUUAUGCAAAAGGGUGUUGAGGUUUGAAGAUGAAAUUGAUGAUCUCACUACUGGAAUUCAGAAAUUUGCCGUCUCCCUUUCCUUUGCCGUCUGCUGACACAUGGCAAAGACCUUCUUUGCCAUCAGCUGGCGCAAAGCAGACGACAAAGACAACACCUAAGGCAAAAAAAUUCUUUGCCGUCGGCCUUCCCUAUGCCGUCGGCCAGCGGACGGCAAAGGAACCACAGGCGGACGACAAAGGGGUGGAAGACGGCAAAGGGGGUGCCACCGUACACCCCCUCCCACCCCAUAACGGGCGCUCCCUUUGCCGUCUGCCCUCCUUCUCUUUGCCGUCGGGGGCGGACGACAAAGCGAGCCCCCCCUAACGGCCGUCUCCCUCUCCCUCUCAUUCUUAUCCGCUCCGACAGUCUCCUCCGCUCCGACAGUUCUCUCAGCCGCUCGUCCCCCGCCCGCCGGCUGCCUCCCCUCCCGCCAGCCGCCUCCUCCCCAGCCCCCUCCUCCCCUCCUACAGCACCCCUCCUCCCCGCCCGCGGCCGCCUCCCCUCNUUUAAUUAGAUUUAGUUAGUUGAUUUGAAUAGUAGGUUUAGUUAGUUAUUUGAUUUGUUAAUUUAGAGGUAGAUCCUAUUUUGUUAAUUAGUGGUAGAUUCUUUUUUAGUUAAUGAUUGGUAGAUUUUCUUUUUGUUAUUUUCUUGCUAUUUAGUGCUAUAUAGGUUUAGCGAUAGGUUUAGUGAUAGGUUUAGAUUCUACAUAGUAAUAAUUGAAAUAAGUAGAAAAAAGAUGAAGAAUAAAAGAAGAAUAAGUAGAUAAGGGAAGAAGAAUAAGAAGAAGAGGAGGAGGNNNNNNNNNNNNNNNNNNNNNNNNNNNNNNNNNNNNNNNNNNNNNNNNNNNNNNNNNNNNNNNNNNNNNNNNNNNNNNNNNNNNNNNNNNNNNNNNNNNNNNNNNNNNNNNNNNNNNNNNNNNNNNNNNNNNNNNNNNNNNNNNNNNNNNNNNNNNNNNNNNNNNNNNNNNNNNNNNNNNNNNNNNNNNNNNNNNNNNNNNNNNNNNNNNNNNNNNNNNNNNNNNNNNNNNNNNNNNNNNNNNNNNNNNNNNNNNNNNNNNNNNNNNNNNNNNNNNNNNNNNNNNNNNNNNNNNNNNNNNNNNNNNNNNNNNNNNNNNNNNNNNNNNNNNNNNNNNNNNNNNNNNNNNNNNNNNNNNNNNNNNNNNNNNNNNNNNNNNNNNNNNNNNNNNNNNNNGAAGAAGAAGAAGAAAAGGAAGGAAGGAAGAAGAAGAAGAAGAAAAGGAAGAGGAGGAAAAAAAAGAAGAUGAUGAAGAAGAAAAUGACACCCUGACACCUCGACACCCCGACACGAUGCCUGAAACCCCGACACGACAUCCUGACGACACCCUGGCAGAAUACGCCGCCCCCGACGCCACUGAUCACCAACCCCCGACCUCCGACACCUCUUGGGCCUCUUGUUGACCGAAAAGUCCCCCGACCACCGACCCCUGACGCCACUGACCCUGGACCCCCGACGACACUGACCCCCGACCACCGACGACACUAACCCCCGAACCCCGACGCCACCGACACCCGACACCAUCGACCCUCGACGGCACUGAGUCCCGACGCCACUAACCCCCGACCCCGACAACUCUUCUGCCUACGGUUGAACGAGAAGGUGCUUUUCGGCCUUCCACAAACCGACGGGGUCAUAGUUUUGUAAAUUAUGAGUUAGGUCACAUAUUUUCCGAUUAUGUUAAUUAUAAAAACAUCAUAUUUGUGUUGAUCGUGUGAAUUUCAAUGUCCAGUUGUUCGACGCCUCCACGUGACGAGCUUCGUCCUUGCGUUUGUUGGUGAGCACAAAUGACUUCUCCUCCUACCCCCUUAAUUUGCUCUGUCCCGGUCUUCGUGCCGAUGAAACUUGCUAGCUAUAGGUUUCUUCAAUCAUGAGUAUGCGUGAUCAGUAUGCGUCUCCCGUUCGAAAGGGUGACAUCUAUAAAUAUGCAUGUCUUUGCAUAUUUAUAACCGCCAUCCUUUCGAAUUGUCCAACAUUAUCCAUGGACAGCCCGAGUAUGUGUAGAUUUGGUUUGUUUUCCCGUAUGCUGUGCUCCGGAUCCGAUGCGGAAUUUCGUCAGUGCCUCCCCUGUUGUUCUCCGGGUACACAUCCUCUCUGCUUAUUGCCGAGACGUGUAUGAGAAGAACAGCGGGGAGGUGCUGCCAAAAUUCUGCGUCGCAUCUGGAGCACAGCAUGGGAAAACGAACCCAAUCUACACAUACUCGGGUGGGAUUAGGACCUAUCUUUACCUAUUAGCGUGUAGGCUGCAUGGACGUAAUAAAACUGACAAACUUGAUUAGCGUAUGAAUAUAGAUGAUGAAUUAUAUAUUUAUUUCUUGUGCCCCAUAGGUAGCUAGGCAACAUGAGUGAUCGUGCUUGGAUGUACACUGGUCACCCUAGUCAGAAAGACAUGACCCAUGAAUGGUUAACAAAAACCAGGGGGUUUGUGAGAGCCGCAUUUGCAAAUGGCCAGCAAAAAACAUGGUGCCUCUGUCCCAACUGCGACAACUGGAAAAAGCAGACAAAGUUUGAAAUGGGUAAACACCUGCAGAAGUGGGGUUUUACGCCUAAUUAUACGGUGUGGACUUUUCAUGGUGAGUCUGACCAACGUGCCAGAGCUGAGGUGAUUCGUCGUCGCACCGACGAGCAUGGUACCGGGAUUGAAGACAUGGUGCAAGACUUUGAUGAUGCUCGAGAUUCAGAUGAUGAGAUGGAGGAAUCUGCAAAGGCCGUCUAUGAAAUGUUGGAGUCUUCAAAACAUCCUCUCCACGAGCAGACUGAGCUUUGUCAGCUGGAUGCCAUCGCGCAAGUAAUGGCUCUCAAGGCUCAAUUCAACCUAGGCAGAGAAUGCUAUGACGUGAUGAUGACGAUAUUUGGACGCUUUCUACCCAAAGGCCAUGUAUUGCCUGCAAACCUGUACCAGUCAGAGAAAAUCCUCCGUGUACUUAAGAUACCCUAUGAGAAGAUACAUGCCUGUGAGAAUGGAUGUGCCUUAUUUAGGCUUGAGUAUGCGGCCUUGAACUAUUGCCCCAUUUGCAAUUCUUCCAGGUAUAUUGUGGUAGACAACGACAUGGGUGAGAAGAAUCAGACAAAAAUCCUCAUUAGUGUUCUUCGGUAUCUGCCAAUCGUACCAAGACUUCAACGUUUUUUCAUGGUUGGAGAGUCGGCCAGACAGAUGACAUGGCACAAAUUGGGCAAAAGAACCGAACUAGAUGCGGAUGGGAACAAGAUGCUGGUACACACUUCAGAUGGUUUUGCGUGGAGGCACUUCGAUGCAUUACAUAAGGAUAAAUCGGAAGAUCCAAGGCAACCUAGAGUUGCCAUCAACACGGAUGGGUUCAAUGUGUAUGGUAUGAUGACAGCACAAUACAGUUGUUGGCCUGUAUUUGUCAUUCCACUAAAUUUGCCACCCGGAGAGAUUAUGAAAAGACAGAACAUUUUCCUGGCGUUGAUAAUUCCAGGGCCCAACUAUCCGGGGAAGAAUAUGAAUGUGUACAUGCAGCCGCUUAAGGAUGAGUUGCAAGAAGCUUGGGAUAAUGGGAUCAAGACCUACGACGCGGCUACCAAAACAAAUUUCAAAAUGCAUGUGUGGUACAUGUAGUCGACGCAUGAUUAUCUGGCGUUUGCGCUAUUCGCUGGCUGGUAUGUGCAUGGAAGGUUCCCGUGCACCACAUGCAAGGCAGCUCUUCAGUUCUGUUGGCUGCAGGCUGGUCGCAAGUAUUCUUGCUUCGACAUGCAUAGAGAAUUCCUCGAUCCUGACCAUAAGUUCAGAAAAGAUAAGAAGAAUUUCAUCAAAGGUAGAGUUGUCAAAAACACUGCACCAGCUGCGUUGACAGGCCAACAGACCCUUGAUCAGUUAAACGCUCUCGAGCUUGAUCCUUUGCAUCCAGGAUACUUCAAAGGGUAUGAUACGGAACACGCCUGGACUCACAAGUCAUGCUUAUGGGAUCUGCCUUACUUCAAAGACCUCCUUUGCCCACACAACAUUGACGUGAUGCACACUGAAAAGAAUAUUGCGGAGGCCAUUUUUGGUACAUUGUUCGUCAUAGAGGGGAAGUCAAAAGAUAAUCCUAAUGCUAGAAUCGACCUGGAGGCUCUAUGUGAUAGACCGUUGCAAAACUUGCGACAACGGAAAGGAAAGCAAAGCAUAGCGAAGCCAAAGGCAUGGUUCAAUCUUGAAAGGCCAGCUAUGAGGGAAAUGCUAUUGUGGGUGAAAAUGCGGUUGAUGUUCCCCGAUGGGUAUGCUGCGAAUCUAAAGAGGGGAGCCAGUCUUGAGAAAUUGAAAAUAUUUGGGCUCAAGAGUCAUGAUUGGCACAUAUGGUUUGAGCGCGUAAUGCCGGUGAUGUUGCGUGGCUUUAUCCCUGAGGAUGAAUGGCUAGUACUGGUAGAGCUGAGCUAUUUCUUUCGUUCUCUUUGUGCGAAAGAAUUAUUGCCUGGUGUGCUAGAUGAAAUGGAAGAGUUGGUGCCGGAGUUGAUUUGCAAAUUAGAAAAGAUCUUUCCACCGGGUUUCUUUAAUCCAAUGCAACAUUUGAUUUUGCAUCUCCCGACUGAGGCAAGAAUGGGGGGCCCGUUCAAAACCGAUGGUGGUACUCAACUGAGAGGAUGCAGAAGACGCUUCGAGCUAAGUGUAAAAAUAAACGUAGAAUUGAAGCAUCGAUGGCCGAGGCAUUCAUUACUGAGGAGGCAACAAACUUCGUGACAGCACACUACGAAGCCAAAAAUCAUCAUUUGCAUAACCCGAAGCCUCGGUACAAUGAUGGCGAUCGAAAAAAAGUUUGAUCCAACCUCAGCCUAUUCAAAGGUAAGCUUGCACCAUCCGGUGCUCCGAAAGGGAAAUCGUUGGAUGUCAAAGAAUGGCGGACCAUUUCAUUGUAUAUCUUCACCAACCUAACAGAAGUGUGGCCGUACAUCGAGUAAGUUCACGGUAAUUUAGUGUUCCGCAACUUCUAAUUGCUUUGAACUACUCUUAUUCUCGGAUAUUUGAUAUAGUCGAUACAUCGCCGAAUUCUCGGAUGGAGUGGUCAUCGAAAAGGAUUCCGUCGAAGAGUAUGAGCUUCUCGCAAAGCAUGGAGGCGACUAUCCCGGUUUCAUCUCUUGGUUCAAACAAAGGGUAAUUAAUUACCAUUAAGGGCCCAUUUGAUUUCUUGGUCUAAUUUGCGGCUAAUGCAUCCAUUCUUUCGUAUUAAACUUGUAGCCUGAUGCAGAGUCUAUGGACCGCGAGUUGAGACAAGUCGCUAAUGGUUUUGACUAUAAGGUCCGUUCAUUUGACAAAUACAACAUCAACGGGUAUCACUUUCGUACCUUUGGCAAAGAGCUAUCUAUGCCCGACCUAAAGACUACAAAGUGUUCUGUCUCUGCUAUCGGCAAAGGAGACACCGAGUAUUAUGGAAGAGUUGAAGCAAUUUAUGAACUUCUAUUCUAUGGUGAAAACCCACCGACCGUCGUAGUCUUCAAAUGUUAUUGGUUCGAGCCGAGGGAGACUAGAAGGACUCAUGAACAUAUAGGACAAGUCGAAAUCAACCAAAACACCCACUUAGAUGUUCCCGAUGUCUAUAUUACGGCUCAACAGGCGACACAAGUUCUCUAUCUACCGUGGGCCUGCCAAACUGAUCCAAAUCUCAAAGAUUGGGAUGUUGUUUAUGAAGUGCCACCCUCAAUGAAGAGGAUUAUGAAUCUCACAUUAACCCAGACUCAUAUGAAGGAGAAUUCUUCCAAGAAACACGUAUGUCCAAGAAACGUUUCAAGAACCGCUCUACUUCACCCCAUAACAUUGAAGUAGACAGCGACAGUGAAUCCGUCUUAACCCCUAAGCCCGAACAGGAAGAGCUGGAAGAAGAAGAGGUUACUGCUGCGGAUGACCUGUACUUCUUGACCGAUUACAUAAUGGUGGCCUUCCACAUGUUCUUCGUGAUAGUGAUGAUGAUGAUGCAUUUAUUGAUGAUAGUGAUGAUCAUGAUGCAUUUAUUGACCCCGAAGCAUAUAUAGACGAGCACGAUUGUUAUUAGUUCAUGUCAGAUAUUCAACUAUUAUACUAUAUAUAAAUUUUGAGUUCAUGUUAGGUAUUCAAUUUUUAUUAGUCAUGUUGGUAUUUAUGACGAUGAUACACUUAAAUUAUAUACAUUUUAUUACUCCUGUUGGUAUUUAUGUUGUACUAAUUUCAUUUACUCUUUGUCAUGACAGGUGUUGAAAGAUGGUGGGAAAGGGUCGAAAGCACUCCGCGGCUCCUUCUUCUUUGGCGGGUGAUGGGAUGGGUACUUCCAUUUCUGCCUCGCCUCUUCGGAGAGUGUUGCUCUCUACUAUGCAAGGAGCUCCCCCGUGAGAGGAGGUCGACCCCCCGCGAAGUCGAGAGGCACUAAAGGUACACGUUGUAUUCAUGUUGGUAUUUAUGUUGUACUCAUGUUGUAUGCAUAUUGGUGUUUAUAUACAUUUUAUUACUCAUGUUGGUAUUUAUGUUGUACUAAAGGUACAUGUGGCCGCGGGAGAGGUAGGGCGGUGGCUGCCACGCCUUCUGAGGUGGCGGCUACACGGUCUCUGCCACCACCCCAAGCUGAUUCACCUAAGCACAGGACUUCUAGGGUGGAUUCGUUUGAGGUGGAAGCUACACGGUCUCCGGUUCACGAGCCUCGGGUCGACGAGCCUCAGGUCGACGAGCCUUAGACCCACGAGACUCGUGUCCCAGAGGCUUCCUUCCAGGCGACUUCGGAGCAAAGCAGGGAUGAGGGUACGUCUCAAGAGACCCAGUGGGAUGCUGAUAGCGAUGAGGAGCUGGGUGAGGGGGCUACCGUCUACCAGCAUGGUAGUUCGGGGCUCCCGCUCGUGCCAGCGACCCCCGAGCAGAGGUGGUCGAUUAGGCCAAAUCGGGACAAGUUAGUUAAUUUACUCUUAUUUAACCUUUGGCCUUCACGUUUUCUCAAAUAUCUAAUGUUUUGGCUUUAAUUUGUCAUACUGUAGGGGUUGGAUUGUUGCCAAGGGUGUCCACAAGCCCAACAUCGUCCUUGGUGUUCUUUGCCGUAAAAACUUCUGAGGGUUUGUUAAGUUGCCCGGUCGGGAGUGAGAGGUAGGAAUGACCUCGGAGCACUACUUGGGUGCCCUGGCCCCGCUGGAGGUGGAGAUCGACGGUGUUUUGUGCGACACGAGGGCGGACAUGGUGAUCCGAAAGUUCUGGGUAAUUUCUCCUUCACACAAUUAUAAAUCAACCAUAGCUAUUUAUUGUACUAAUCGGUGUUGUCUCGUUUGUAGACCUACUACAGGUGUGAGGAGGGAUACGAGGAGGACGCACAAAGGUUAUCGAAACCGAAUGUCGCCGCCUACUUCAAUACUUUCGGCACGAGGCUCGGGUGCAGGCUGUUCGAGACUACUAUGCCACGUGGCGCAUUAGGAUUGACAAGGCGAAGUGCCGUGAUGCUAAGAUGGAGAAGGAGAAUUACAUGAAGGUAAUUACAUAUUAUUAAGGCUUUGUAGUUAGUUUCCUUGAUUUGGUUCUUACGCGCUCAAAUUUCUCUUUAUUAACUUAGGUGCCCCCGAGAUGGUGUGUGGAUAAGAUGGAUUGUUGGGAGGCCUUGGUGGAUCAGUGGUGCUCCGAAACGUGGGAGGCCAGCCACAACAACGCCAAGGAGAGGCGUGGAAAACUGGUUGGCGUGCCACACAAUCAAGGGAGCGUCAACUUAAUCCAAUUUGGCAAGAACUGGGUAUGUGGUUUGCUUCAUGCCUCAUGCAAUUUAUUCUUAAUGCUAUCUUGAGCCCUUUACUAAUACAAUUUUCCUCUCUCUCUCUUUUAGGCGCGUCACAAUAAGACGGAGGCGCCACAGAUGUACGACCUGUAUGCGAUGGCCCAUACUUCCUCGUACAAGAAGGUCAAGGCAUUCUCUGAGUCUGACCUCGAGCAUCCAGAAAACUUCACCAACAUCUCCUCCCACCACAAGCUCGUGAAGUACAGAGAUCACGGGAAGGCGAGGAAAGGGGAGGCCUUUAACCCGAGCGAGGGGCCUAUUGAUCAAGAGCUGGUGAUGAUAGCUGGUAACGGGAGGCCCCAUGGCUCGAUCGCCAUUGGAGACGGCCUUAUACGUUGUCCUAGCACUCUCCGGCAGAUAAAGGCACGCCAAACAAGCUCUUGUCUGGAGAUAACACGUCGUCCACGGCCAAUCGAGCUCGCCAUCGAGGUUAGUUUAAUGGACUCAACUAUCUUUCCGCAUUAUGUUGUGCGUUGGAACCAAUAUAUUAGAUUGCUAACAAUGAGUUGUGUUGCAGGCUGCUAUUCAGAAAGAGAGAGAGGCAAUGCACGCGGCUAUGGUGGAGAAGGAUAAGGAAAUUAGGGAGCUGGAUGGGAGGACGACUGCAUUGGUGGAGGCGGAGAGGGCACGGAAUGAUGCGUCUAACACGGCCAUAUACGAGCUCUUCGUGGUAAGUUUCUUCUUCAUGUUAUUUCAAAUCUUGCAUUUGAAUGUCCAUUUCAUUAAUAAAUAAAAAGUUUGACUUGUCGAAACCAAAUGUACAGUCUAUGUGCGAGAAGAGCGGCCAAGUCCCUUCGCCGAUGCCAGUCAUUAACGUGGCGGGGACGGUGAGUUUCAUUUCAGUGCAGUGAUGUUAAGAGUGUCCUCAUGCUAACUACACAUUGCAAACGAUGUUUGGUGCAGAAUAUCUCCCGAAACGCAUCGCACGACCCUUCUACAGUCGAGCCUUCUCCAGGUGAAACAAGCCAGAGCCACCGUGCUUCACCGCUGUGAUGACGAUAAUGGUAUGUUAUUUCUAGUGUUUUAAUAAAAAAUAGCUAGACUUCCAUCUAAAUGACAUAAUUAGCUUAGUUAGCUCCAAGAAAGGCUAAAUUGGCUAAUUAUCCUACGAAAUGACAUAAUUAGCUUAGUUAGCUCGAGAAUGACCUAUUUAAUAAAAAAUGACCUAUAGUUAGCUAAGUUCUCUCCUAAAUGACAUAAUAAGGCUUACGUUGUUGCAAGAUGACCUAUUCCNNNNNNNNNNNNNNNNNNNNNNNNNNNNNNNNNNNNNNNNNNNNNNNNNNNNNNNNNNNNNNNNNNNNNNNNNNNNNNNNNNNNNNNNNNNNNNNNNNNNNNNNNNNNNNNNNNNNNNNNNNNNNNNNNNNNNNNNNNNNNNNNNNNNNNNNNNNNNNNNNNNNNNNNNNNNNNNNNNNNNNNNNNNNNNNNNNNNNNNNNNNNNNNNNNNNNNNNNNNNNNNNNNNNNNNNNNNNNNNNNNNNNNNNNNNNNNNNNNNNNNNNNNNNNNNNNNNNNNNNNNNNNNNNNNNNNNNNNNNNNNNNNNNNNNNNNNNNNNNNNNNNNNNNNNNNNNNNNNNNNNNNNNNNNNNNNNNNNNNNNNNNNNNNNNNNNNNNNNNNUUACCCAAGUUAGCUCCGAAACAACGUAUAGUUAGGUAGGGAUCCACCUAGAUGACAUAAUUAGCUUAGUUAGCUCCUAAAUGGUCUAUUUAAUAAAACAUGACCUAUACUUAGCUAAUUAUCCUCGAAAUGACGUAAUUAGCUCCAAAAAGGCAUUCUAAGCCAAUUUAGCCCAAAGAAGGGGACAAGAGGAGAAGAAAGAGGAAAAAUGAAAGGAAGGAAGAAGAAGAAGAAGAGAAUAAGAAGAAGGAGAAGGAGGAGGAUAAGAAGAAGGAGAAGGAGGAGAAGAAGGAGAAGGAGCUCCUCCUUCUCCUUCUUCUUCUUCCUCCUUCUUCCUCCUUCUCCUUCUCCUUCUUAUUUUCUUAUUCUUCUCCUCUUCCUUCUCCUCCUCCUCCUCCUCCUCCUUCUUUUACUUCUUCUUCUCUUUAUCUUCUUCUACGAAGCUUAGACUCAUCCAAGAAAGGCUAAAUUGGCUAAUUAUCCUACGAAAUGACAUAAUUAGCUUAUUAGCUCCAAAAUGACCUAUUUAAUAUAAAAUGACCUAUAGUUAGCUAAGUUCUCUCCUAAAUGACAUAAUAAGGCUUACGUAGCUCCAAGAGGACCUAUCACUCUAACUUAGAUAUUAAAUGGCCUAUAAUUAGCCUAGCUAGAUCCAAAAUGGCUUAAUAAGCAUAGUUUGCUCCGGAAUGACCUAUUUUACCCAAGUUAGCUCCGGAACAACCUAUAGUUAGCUAGGGUUCCACCUAGAUGACAUAAUUAGCUUCGUUAGCUCCUAAAUGGUCUAUUUAAUAAAACAUGACCUAUACUUAGCUAAUUAUCCUCGAAAUGACAUAAUUAACUCCAAAAAGGCAUUGUAAGCCAAUUUAGCUCGAAGAAGGGGCCAAGAGGAGAAGAAAGAGGAAAAAUGAAAGGAAGGAAGAAGAAGAAGAAGAAGAGAAGAAGAAGAAGGAGAAGGAGGAUGAUAAGAAGAAGUAUAAGAAGGAGGAGAAGAAGGAGAAGGAGCUCCUCCUUCUCCUUCUUCUUCCUCCUUCUUCUCCUUCUUCUUCCUCCUUCUUCCUCCUUCACCUUCUCCUUCUUCUUUUCUUCUUCUUCUCCUCUUCCUUCUCCUCCUCCUCCUCCUUCUUUUACUUCUUCUUCUCUUUCUCUUCUUCUAUGUAGCUUAGACUCAUCCAAGAAAGGCUAAAUUAGCUAAUUAUCCUACGAAAUGACGUAAUUAGCUUAGUUAGCUCAAAAUGACCUAUUUAAUAAAAAAUUACCUAUAGUUAGCUAAGUUCUCUCCUAAAUGACAUAAUAAUGCUUACGUAGCUGCAAGAUGACCUAUUCCCCUAACUUAGGUAUUAAAUGGCCUAUAAUUAGCCUAGCUAGAUCCAAAAUGGCUUAAUAAGCAUAGUUUGCUCCGGAAUGACCUAUUUUACCCAAGUUAGCUCCGGAACGACCUAUAGUUAGCUAGGGUUCCACCUAAAUGACAUAAUUAGCUUAGUUAGCUCCUAAAUGGUCUAUUUAAUAAAAACAUGACCUAUACUUAGCUAAUUAUCCUCGAAAUGACAUAAUUAGCUCCAAAAAGGAAUUCUUAGCCAAUUUAGCCCGAAGAAGGGGACAAGAGGAGAAGAAAGAGUAAAAUUAAAGGAAGGAAGAAGAAGAAGAAGAGAAGAAGAAGAAGGAGAAGGAGGAGGAUAAGAAGAAGGAGAAGAAGGAGGAGAAGAAGGAGAAGGAGCUCCUCCUUCUCCUUCUUCUUCCUCCUUCUCCUUCUCCUUCUUCUUUUCUUCUUCUUCUCCUCUUCCUUCUCCUCCUCCUCCUCCUCCUUCUUUUACUUCUUCUUCUCUUUUUCUUCUUCUACGUAGCUUAGACUCAUCCAAGAAAGGCUAAAUUGGCUAAUUAUCCUACGAAAUGACAUAAUUAGCUUAGUUAGCUCCAAAAUGACCUAUUUAAUAAAAAAUGACCUAUAGUUAGCUAAGUUCUCUCCUAAAUGACAUAAUAAGGCUGACGUAGCUGCAAGAUGACCUAUUCCCCAUAAAUUUGGUAUUAAAUGGCUUAUAAUUAGCCUAGCUAGAUCCAAAAUGGCUUAGUAAGCAUAGUUUGCUCCGGAAUGACCUAUUUUACCCAAGUUAGCUCCGGAACGACCUACAGUUAGCUAGGGUUCCAUCUAGAUGACAUAAUUAGCUUNNNNNNNNNNNNNNNNNNNNNNNNNNNNNNNNNNNNNNNNNNNNNNNNNNNNNNNNNNNNNNNNNNNNNNNNNNNNNNNNNNNNNNNNNNNNNNNNNNNNNNNNNNNNNNNNNNNNNNNNNNNNNNNNNNNNNNNNNNNNNNNNNNNNNNNNNNNNNNNNNNNNNNNNNNNNNNNNNNNNNNNNNNNNNNNNNNNNNNNNNNNNNNNNNNNNNNNNNNNNNNNNNNNNNNNNNNNNNNNNNNNNNNNNNNNNNNNNNNNNNNNNNNNNNNNNNNNNNNNNNNNNNNNNNNNNNNNNNNNNNNNNNNNNNNNNNNNNNNNNNNNNNNNNNNNNNNNNNNNNNNNNNNNNNNUGACAUAAUUAGCUCCAAGAACGAAUUCUUAGCCAAUUUAGCCCGAAGAAGGGGACAAGAGGAGAAGAAAGAGGAAAAUAAAAGGAAGGAAGAAGAAGAAGAAGAGAAGAAGAAGAAGAAGAAGGAGAAGGAGGAGGAUAAGAAGAAGUAUAAGAAGGAGGAGAAGAAGGAGAAGGAGCUCCUCCUUCUCCUUCUUCUUCGUCCUUCUCCUUCUCCUUCUUCUUUUCUUCUUCUUCUUCUCUUCCUUCUCCUCCUCCUCCUCCUCCUCCUCCUCCUUCUUUUACUUAUUCUUCUCUUUCUCUUCUUCUACAUAGCUUAGACUCAUCCAAGAAAGGCUAAAUUGGAUAAUUAUCCUACGAAAUGACAUAAUUAGCUUAGUUAGCUCCAAAAUGACCUAUUUAAUAAAAAAUGACCUAUAGUUAGCUAAGUUCUCUCCUAAAUGACAUAAUAAGGCUUACGUAGCUGCAAGAUGACCUAUUCCCCCUAACUUAGGUAUUAAAUGGCCUAUAAUUAGCCUAGCUAGAUCCAAAAUGGCUUAAUAAGCAUAGUUUGCUCCGGAAUGACCUAUUUUAUCCAAGUUAGCUCCGAAACGACCUAUAGUUAGCUAGGGUUCCACCUAAAUGACAUAAUUAGCUUAGUUAGCUCCUAAAUGGUCUAUACUUAGCUAAUUUCUCUCUGAAAUAACCUAUAUAUACACUUCUUCAUCUACUAUUAUUCUUCUAACUUUCUUAUUUGUCAUUUUGCAGAUUACCUUCACUUCACGGGAAGCUUGGAUUAUAUUGAUGGAAUGCUUGAAGGUGAUUUCUUGUACCAUGGCUUGUAUUGAAACUAUUGUAGUAUAUGGAUAUAUAUGAAACUUUGUAUGCAUGUGGAUGAAACUUGUGUAAUAUAUGGUUUGGUACGGAUGCAACUUGCAUAAUAUGUAUGCACUAUGGAUGAGAGUUAUUUUAAUAUGGUUAUGAGUACGGAAAGAAAUUUAUUUAUGUCAAAUAUAUAUAUAUAUAUAUCCUGAUUAUUGUUAAAAAUGCUGGAUAUAAUAAAAAAUAAAUUAAAAAGGGGUUGGUUCCCCUCUUUGUCGUCUGCCCCCACAUGGCAUACGGCAAAGGGGGGAAUCUGCCCCCUCUCUCUCCCCUCUUUGCCGUCUGCCCCCAGAUGGCAAAGGGGGGUAGGCAGACGGCAAAGGGGGGAAUCUGCCCCCUCUCUCUCCCCUCUUUGCCGUCUGCCCCCAGAUGGCAAAGGGGGGUGGGAAGACGACAAAGGGGGGAAUCAGCCCCCCUCUCUCCCCUCUUUGCCGUCUGCCCCCGCAUGGCAAAGGGGGGAUGGCAGACGGCAAAGAGAGGAGGCCUACCGUUAACACUUAACGGGGCCGUUGCACUAUGUGCCGUCCCAUUUUGUUUGUCGUCUGCCCCCUCAUGGCAAAGAUUCUUUGCCGUCCGCUUUACGAAAGCAGACGGUAAAGAACCUCUUCACCGGAUAUUUUUUACCGUCUAGUUUGCCGUCUGCUGACCGACGGCAAAGCCUUUGCCGUCCGUGGUUCCCCCCUUUGCCGUCUGCCAUGGGAGAUGGCAAAUCUUUGAAUUUCAGUAGUGUCUGAGGGAGUAGAAUUUUAUGCUCAAGUGGAAAUUAAACAAGUUUAAGACCUCUGCAACAACUCCAUCACCAUCACCUCCAAAGGAAGACAACUGAGCAUGGGUAUGGGCAAUCCCCUUGGCUUGUGCCAAGCUUGGGGGAGUUGCCCCGGUAUCGUAUCACCAUCACAUCUUUUGCCUUUACCUUUCUUAGUUUGUUCCCUUUUGGUUUUAUCUUUCUCUAGUAGAUUAAAGGUCUUAGUGUUUUAGGCUUGAGUUUUGCUUGGUGUCACCCCCGAUGUAUUCGAGCUCGUUAGCCAUAUAAGAAAGAGUGUCUUAGUUAAGGGCCUUGUCCCAUGCCAUGAUCAAAAGGAUGAGAAAAGAACAAAAGCAUGAUAGAUCAUGUAAUGAUCUUAUGGGAAGUGAUGGCUUCACAUAUAAAAAGAAUGUUGAUUGAAACUUGUUGAGGGUAGACAAACGUAGACCUUGGUCAUUGUUGCAAUUAAUAGGAAGUGAUAAAGAAGGAGAGGUUCACAUAUAAAUAUAUCAUCUUUGACCCCAUCUAUGAUUGUGAACACUCACUAAACUAUUACAUGCUUAGAAGUAGAUGUUGGACAAGGAAGACAAAAUAAUGAAUUGUGUUUGGUUGGUUCCGAACAAUAUUAUAUGACUAGAGAUCCCUUAGCAUGUGACGAUUGCUUCCACCUCAUAUUAGCCAAACCUCCCGCACCAAGUAGAGAUACUACUUGUGCAUCCAUAAACCUUCAACCCAGUUUUGCCAUGAGAGUCCACCAUACCUACCUAUGGAUUGAAUAAGAUCCCUCAAGUAAGUUGUCAUCGGUGCAAGCAAUAAAAAUUGCUCCCUAAUUAUGUAUGAUCUAUUAGUGUGUGGAAAAUAAGCUUUGUACGAACCUGUGAUGAGGAAUAAAUAAAAGUGACAGACUGCAUAAUAAAGUUCUUUAUCACAGGAGGCAAUAUAAAGUGACGUUCCUCCACACUAAGAGGACACACAUCCAAACCUCAAAAGCGCAUGACAACCUCUGCUUCCCUCUGCGAAGGGCCUAUCUUGUACCUUUACUUUUUUCCCUUGAAAGAGUCAUGGUGAUCUACACCAAUUCCUUAUUUCGCCUUUAUCUUGGCUAACGUCAUAUGCUAGGGAAAGAUCUGUAUUCAUAUGUAAAAUUGGAAGUAAGUAUUCAUGAAUUAUUAUUGUUGACAUUACCCUUGAGGUAAAUGGUUGGGAGGCAAAACUAUAAGCCCCUAUCUUUCUCUAUGUCCAACUGAAACUUUGAUCUCAUGAGUACCACUUGAGUUGUACCAAUUGUAGAGAACGAAAAGAUGAUUGAGUAUGUGGAUAUGCUUUACAAGCUCUUAUUUGACUCUUUCCGAUGUUGUGAUAAAUUGCAAUUGCUUCAAUGACUAAAGGCUAUCGGUUGUUCAUUCUCGGUAAGGUUCUUGAUCCAUACUUUACUUUGUGAAGGAAUUGUCACUUUAGCAUAAGAGAUGAUAUGAUGGUAUCGCUAUUCUGAUCAUGAUCAUGAUGCCUGCAUGUUCGUAUCUUGUUUUGUCGACACCUCUCUCUAAACAUGUGGGCAUAUUUAUUAAUCUCGGCUUUCGGUUGAGGACAAGCGAGGUCUAAGCUUGGGGGAGUUCAUACGUCCAUUUUGCAUCAUGCUUUCAUGUUGAUAUCUAUCGCUUUUUGGGCUGUUAUUACACUUCACGGUACAACACUUAUGCCUUUUCUCUCUUAUUUUGCAAGGUUUACAUGAAGAGGGAGAAUGCCGACAGCUGGAAUUCUGGCCUGAAAAAGGAGCAAGUUUGACAUACCUAUUCCUCGCAACUCCAAAGCCGUGAAAAUCAACGAGGAUUUUUUUGGGAUUUAUGAAAAAUACUAGGCCGAAGAAGUACCAAAGGGGCGCCAGCAGGAGGCCACAAGCCUGCUAGGCGCGGCCUCCCCUGGCCGCGCCUAGGGGGCUUGUGGGAUCCCACUUGGCCCUCUAGCCCCCUCUUUUUCUACAAGAGCGGAUUCGUUCCAGAAAAAAAAUGAAGAGGAGGCUUUUCGGAGGAUUCGCUGCCACCACGAGGCGGAACUUGAGCAGAACCAAUCUAGAGCUCCAGCAGGACGAUCCUGCCGAGGAAACAUCCCUCCCGGAGGGGGAAAUCGUCGCCAUCGUCAUCACCAACACUCCUCUCAUUGGAGGGGACUCAUCACCAUCAACAACUUCAUCAGCACCAUCUCAUCUCCAAACCCUAGUUCAUCUCCUGUAACCAAUCUCCGUCUCGUGACUCGGAUAGGUACUUGUAAGGUUGCUAGUAGUGUUAAUUACUCUUUGUAGUUGAAGCUAGUUGGAUUACUUGGUGGAAGGUUAUAUGUUCAGAUCUUUGAUGCUACUCAUUACCCCUCUGGUCAUGAAUAUGAUUAUGCUUUGUGAGUAGUUACUUUUGUUCCUGCGGACAUGGGAUAAGUCAUGCUAUAAGUAGUCAUGUGAAUUUGGUAUUCGUUCGAUAUUUUGAUGUGUUGUAUGUUGUUUUUCCUCUAGUGGUGUUAUGUGAACGUCGAAUACAUAACACUUAACCAUUAUUUGGGACUAGAGGAAGGCAUUGGGAAGUAGUAAGUAGAUGAUGGGUUGCUAGAGUGACAGAAGCUUAAACCCUAGUUUAUGCGUUGCUUCGUAAGCGGCUGAUUUGGAUCCACUAGUUUAAUGCUAUGGUUAGACUUUGUCUUAAUUCUUCUUUAGUAGUUGUGGAUGCUUGCGAGAGGGGUUAAUCAUAAGUGGGAUGCUUGUCCAAGUAAGGGCAGUACCCAAGCGCCGGUCCACCGACAUAUCAAACUAUCAAAGUAACGAACGCGAAUCAUAUGAACAUGAUGAAAACUAGCUUGACAGAAUUUCCCAUGUGUCCUCGGGAGCAUUUUACCUCCUAUAAGAGUUUGUCCAGGCUUGUCCCUUGCUACAAAAGGGAUUGGGCCACUUUUCUGCACCGUUGUUACUUUUGUUACUUGCUACUUGCUAUGAAACAUCUCACCACACCACUACUUGUUACCGAUAAUUUCAGUGCUUGCAGAUAUUAUCUUGCUGAAAACCACUUGUCAGAUCCUUCUGCUCCUCGUUGGGUUCGACACCCUUAGUUAUCGAAAGGACUACGAUAGAUCCCCUAUACUUGUGAGUCAUCAAUGAUCAGGUGUGAUAGAUUCUAACGUUCACAUAAAACGAGUGUAAGCCAAUUUACACACGCGGAACACUUAGGUUGACUCGACGAGCCUAGAAUGUACAUACAUGGCCUAUUAUACGGGAGACCAAAAGGUCGAACAUGAGUCGUAUGGUUGAUACAAUCAGCAUGGAGAUGCUCACCAUCGUUGACUAGUCCGUCUCAUGUGAUGAUCGGACACGGGAUAGUCGACGUGGAUCAUGUAACACUUGGAUGACUAGAGGGAUGUCGAACUAAGUGGGAGUUCAUUAGUAAUUUGAUUAGAUGAACUUAAUUAUCAUGAACUUAGUCUAAAAUUGUAUUUACAGAUAUUGUAGAUCCAAUGGCCAUUGCAAAUGUCUCAUUCAACUUCAACGUGUUCCUAGAGAAAACCAAGCUGAAAGAUGAUGGGAGCAACUAUGCGGAUUGGGCUCGUAACUUAAAGCUCAUCCUCACUGCUUCCAAGAAGGCAUAUGUCCUUAAUGCACCGCUAGGUGAUACUCCCGUUCCCAUGGCACACCAGGACAUUAGGAACACCUGGCAGUCACGGAGUGAUGGCUACUCUCUGGUUGAGUGCAGCAUGCUUUACUGUUUAGAACCGGGGCUCCAAAGACAUUUUGAGCAACACACAACAUAUGAGAUGUUCGAGGAGCUGAAACUUGUUUUUCAAGCUCAUGCCCGGGUCGAGAGAUAUGAACUCUCCGACAAGUUCUUUAGCUGUAAGAUGGAGGAGAAUAGUUCUAUCAGUGAGGACAUACUCAGAAUGUCUAGGUUGCACAACCGCUUGACUCAGCUCGGAGUUGAACUUCCGGAUGAUGCGGUCAUUGACAGAAUCCUCCAGUCGCUUUCACCUAGCUAUAAAGGCUUUGUGAUGAAUUACAACAUGCAAGGGAUGGAAAAGACUAUUCCCUAGUUGUAUUCAAUGUUGCAAUCUGCGGAGGUAGAAAUCAAGAAAGAACAUCAAGUGUUGAUGGUGAAUAAGACCACUAGUUUCAAGAAAGGCAAAGGUAAAAAGAACUUCAAGAAAGACGGCAAAGCAGUUGCCGCACCCGGUAAACCAGUUAUCAGGAAGAAGACAAAGAAAGGACCCAAGCCUGAGACUGAGUGCUAUUACUGCAAGGGAACUCGUCACUCGAAGCAGAAUUGCCCUAAGUACUUAGCGGAUAAGAAGGCCGACAACAUCAAAGGUAUAUGUGAUAUACUUGUUAUUGACGUGUACCUUGUGAGUGCUCGUAGUAGCACCUGGGUAUUUGAUACUUGUGUUGUUGUUCACAUUUGCAACUCUAAGCAGGAACUGCGGAACAAGCGUAGGCUGGCUAAGGAUGAUGUGAUGAUGCACAUUUGGAAUGGUUCCAAGGUUGAUGUGAUCGUCGUCGGCACGCUACCUCUACAUCUACCUUCGGGAUUAGUUUUAAACCUUAAUAAUUGUUAUUUAGUACCAGCUUUGAGCAUGAACAUUGUAUCGGGAUCUCGGUUGAUGCAAGAUGGCUACUCAUUUAAAUCUGAGAAUAAUGGUUGUUCUAUUUAUAUGAGUGGUAUGUUUUAUGGUCAUGCCCCGUUGGUAAAUGGUUUAUUCUUGAUGAAUCUUGAUCGUGAUGUUACACAUAUUCAUAGUGUGAGUACCAAAACAUGUAAAGUUGAUAAUGAUAGUCCAACAUACUUGUCGCAUUGCCGCCUCGGUCAUAUCGGUGUUCAGCGCAUGAAUAAACUACAUACAGAUGGACUUCUGGAGUCUCUUGAUUUUGAAUCAUUUGACACGUGCGAACCGUGCCUCAUGGGCAAGAUGACCAAGACUCCGUUCUCCGGAACAAUGGAGCGAGCAAUAACUUAUUGGAAAUAAUAGAUACCGAUGUAUGUUGUCCAAUGAGCGUUGAGGCUCGCGGAGGCUAUCGUUAUGUUCUCACCCUCACUGAUGAUUUAAGUAGAUAUGGGUAUGUCUACUUAAUGAAGCACAAGUCUGAAACCUUUGAAAGGUUCAAGGAAUUUCAGAGUGAGGUGGAGAAUCAACGUGACAAGCAAAUAAAUUUUCUACGAUCUGAUCGCGGAGGAGAAUAUUUGAGUCACGAGUUUGGCACACACCUAAAGAAAUGUGGAAUUGUUUCACAACUCACACGGCCUGGCACACCGCAGCGUAACAGUGUGUCUGAACGUUGUAAUCACACUUUGUUGGAUAUGGUGCGAUCUAUGAUGUCUCUUACCGAUUUACCGCUAUCAUUUUGAGGAUAUGCAUUGGAAACUGCCGCAUUCACUUUAAAUAGAGCACCGUCUAAAUCCAUUGAGACGACCCCAUAUGAAUUAUUGUUUGGCAAGAAACCUAAGUCGUCGUUUCUGAAAGUUUGGGGGUGCGAUGAUUAUGUGAAGAAACUUCAACCACAGAAGCUCGAACCCAAAGCGGAAAAAUGCAUCUUCCUGGGAUACCAUAAGGAAACUAUUGGGUAUGCCUUUUAUCUUAGGCCUGAGGGCAAAAUCUUUGUUGCCAAGAACGGAUCCUUUCUAGAGAAAGCUUUUCUCUUGAAAGAAGUAAGUGGGAGGAAUGUAGAACUUGAUGAGGUAAUUGUACCUCCUCUCGAACCGAAGAGUAGGGCAGCACAAGAAUAUGUUUGUGAGGUGCCUGCACCGGCUAGAGAAGAAGUUAAUGAUGAUGAUCAUGAAACUCCAGAUCAAGUUGCUACAGGACCUCGAAAGUCCACAAGGACACGUUCUGCACCAGAGUGGUACGGCAACCCUGUCAUGGAAAUCAUGUUGUUGGGAAAGAGUGAACCUUCGAACUAUGAAGAAGCGAUGGCGGGCCCAGAUUCCAACAAAAGGCUUGAAGCCAUGAAAUCCGAGAUAGGAUCCAUAUAUGAGAACAAAGUAUGGACUUUGGUGGACUUGCCUGAUGAUUGGCGAGCCAUAGAAAAUAAAUGGAUCUUUAAGAAGAAGACCGACUCGGAUGGUAAUGUGACCAUCUAUAAGGUAUGACUUGUCGCUAAGGGUAAUCGACAAGUUCAAGGGAUUGACUACAAUGAGACCUUCUCACCCGUAGAGAUGCUGAACUCAGUCGAAUCAUGUUAGCAAUUGCCGCAUUUUAUGAUUAUGAAAUCUGGCUAAUGGACGUCAAAACAACAUUCCUUAACGGCUUUCUUAAGGAAUAAUUGUAUAUCAUACAGCCGGAAGGUUUUGUCGAUCCUAGCAAUGCUAACAAGGUAUGCAAGCUCUAGCGCUCCAUCUAUGGGAUGGUGCAAGCAUCUCGGAGUUGGAACAUUCGCUUUGACGAGGUGAUCAAAGCGUUUGGGUUUGUACAGACUUACAGAGAAGCCUGUAUUUACAAGAAAGUGAGUGGGAGCUCUGUAGCAUUUCUCAUAUUAUAUGUGGAUGGCAUAUUGUUGAUGGGAAACGAUAUAGAACUAUUAGAAACCAUAAAGUCUUAUUUGAAUAAGAGUUUUUCAAUGAAGGACCUUGGAGAAGCUGCUUACAUAUUAGGCAUCAAUAUCUAUAGAGAUAGAUCGAGACGCCUCACAGGACUUUCACAAAGCACAUAGCUUGACAAGAUAUUGAAUAAGUUCAAUAUGGAUAUGGCUAAGAAGGGGUUCUUGCCUGUAUUACAAGGUGUGAGGUUGAGUACGACUCAACGCCCGACCACCACAGAAUAUAGAGAAAAGAUGAGUACCGUCCCCUAUGCUUCAGCCAUAGGCUCAAUUAUGUAUGCCAUGAUGUGUACUAGACCUGAUGUGAACCUUGCCAUAAGUUUGGUAGGGAGGUACCAAAGUGAUCUAAGAGUGGAUCACUGGAUAGUGGUCAAGAACAUCCUUAAGUACCUGAAAAGGACUAAAGAUAUGUUUCUCGUUUAUGAAGGUGCCGAAGAGCUCGUCGUAAAGGGUUACGUCGAUGCUAUCUUUGACACAGAUCCGGAUGACUCCAAGUCACAAACCGGAUACGUGUAUAUUUUGAUUAAUGGGGCAGUCAGCUGGUGCAGUUAUGCUUCACCUCUUGCCAUGUUUACUAACAUUUAAACUUGCUGUGUAAACAAACAAAAGUGAACUAAGUGAUUCGAAUGUGGAUUUUUAUUAAUAUGCAACUUGUUGCAUAUUGAGCUUCACUUAAUGUGUUGUACUUGAUUGUUGUGAUUGACAUGCCUUGCAUAUGUAAACCGGACAUGCAUCAUAUUUGAUUGUGCAUCAUGCCAUGUAAAUGUUGUGGUGUUUUUUUUUAUUUUUUGUUUCAUCAUCAUUUCUUCUCGGUAGUGUUCCAAAACCGAUUCGGAGUGUGAGGAUUUGUUCAACUACGUCCCGUUCCUCUACUUCUCAGAUUCGUUCUUCUUCCAAGCGUGAUCUCAGGCAAGAUGACCAUUUCCAUAUAUACCACUACCAUAUUUGCCAUGCUAGUUGUAUCGUUUUGAUCGCUAUGUCUUGCUUCCUACUACGUGUUUGUCAAGACUCCCAACAUUCUUUGAUUAUCCUCUAUUUUUUUUGAAACGGGAAAAAUAUCUUUUGCCUUAUAUUGAUAUAACAGAAGCAAACAGGGGAAUGGAAAGAGUCAUAAAAAAGAGAAGAGGAAGGGAGCGAACACCGCCCCCGACAAAGGGGGAAAGAGGAUGAGCCUACAAGUUCCGCCAGAUUUUUAGCAUCGGCGAGGAUCUAGUCCUUCCCCUCUUCCCUAAUCUUAUGCAUGACAACCGAUGGCAGGGAUGGCUUAUUGUUGAAAACUCAUUCGUUCCCCUCUUUCCAGAUCUCCCAAGUGAUGAGCGUGAUAGCUGAGUGUAAGCCUUUUGGGGAGGAGGUGGUGGACUUCGAAACAGCCAGCCAAUAGUCCAUGGCUUUAGGCCUACCCUCCCCAAGGCUGCUGAUGAGGUCUGGACAAGAGAACCAAGAGGUCGCGACCGUCCAGAUAUGUCUGGAGAAGUGGCACUCGAAAAUAAUGUGUCGUGCCGUCUCAAGGGAGGUACGACAGAGCUGGCAAGUAGGUUGGUGCGGCCAUCCGCGUUUCGCCAAGCGAUCAACAGUCCAUAAGCGGUUCUCAAUGGCGAGCUAGGCGAAGAAACGACAAUUUGGAGGGGCCAGGUCUUCCACACGAUGUUCCCAAACUGGCUGGCCAAAGAGGCAAGGAACUGGACCUUGUAGGCAGAGCUGGCCGAGUAGCGCCCAUUAGAGGUCAAGGACUGUUGGAAAUAAUCCGUAGACGCAAUAAUAAAGUGGUUAUUAGUAUAUUCCCUGGUUCAUGAUAAUUAUCUAUUAUUCAUGCUAUAAUUAUAUUAACCGGAAACGGUGAUACAUUUUUGAAUAUAUAGAUCACAAUGUGUCCCUAGUGAGCCUCUAGUUGGCUAGCUCGUUGAUCAAUAGAUGAUCAUGGUUUCCUGAUCAUGGACAUUGGAUGUCAUUGAUAAUGGGAUCACAUCAUUGGGGAAUGAUGUAAUGGACAAGACCCAAUCCUAAGCAUAACACUAGAUCGUGUUGUUUGUUUGCUAAAGCUUUUCUAAUGUCAAGUAUAAUUUCCUUAGACCAUGAGAUUGUGCAACUCCCGGAUACCGUAGGAGUGCUUUGGGUGUAUCAAACGUCACAACGCAACUGGAUGAUUAUAAAGGUGCACUACAGGUAUCUCCGAAAGUGUCUGUUGGGUUGUACGAAUUGAGACUGGGAUUUGUCACUCCGUGUGACGGAGAGCUAUCUCUGGGCCCACUCGGUAAUCCAUCAUCAUACUGAGCUCAAUGUGACUAAGGAGUUAGAAAUGGGAUGAUGUGUUACCGAACGAGUAAAGAGACUUGCCGGUAAUGAGAUUGAACAAGGUAUAGGGAUACCUAUGAUCGAAUCUCGGGCAAGUAUCAUACCGGUAGACAAAGGGAAUUGCAUACAGGAUUGAUUGAAUCCCCGACAUCGUGGUUCCUCCAAUGAGAUCAUCGUGGAACAUGUGGGAACCAACAUGGAUAUCUAGACCCCGCUGUUGGUUAUUGACCGGAGAGGUGUCUCGGUCAUGUCUGCAUGCUUCCAGAACCCGUAGGGUCUACACACUAAAGGUUCGAUGACGCUAGGGUUAUAUGGGAAUAGUGUACAUGGUUACGGAAGGUUGUUCGGAGUCCCGUAUGAGAUCCCGGACGUUACGAGGAGUUCCGGAAUGGUCCGGAGGUAAAGAUUCAUAUAUAGGAAGUGAGGAUUUGAACACCGGAAGUGUUUCGGGCAUCACCGGUAAUGUACCGGGACAACCGGAAUGGUUCCGGGCGUCCACCGGGAAGGGCCACCAGCCCCAAAGUGCUACAUGGACCAAAAUUGGAUGGAAACCAGCCCCUAGGUGGGCUGGUGCGCCACCACUAAGGGCCCAAGGCGCACAAGGGGUGGAGAGGGGCAAAACCCUAGGCGUGGAGGGGCACCUUUGGGCCCAAGGCCAACCCUCGAGCGCCUCCACCCUUGGCCGCCGCCCUCCUUGCCCAUCUAGGGCUUCCGCAACCCUUAGGGUGGGAAACCCUAAGGGUGGGCACCCUCCUCCCUCUCCUGCUAUAUAUAGUGAAAGGUUUGGGGCUGUUUUGAGACACAAUCUCUCUCUCUCUCUCUCNNNCUCUCUCUCUCUCUCUCGGGGUAGCCCUACUCCUCCUCGUCCUCGUCCUCCGUAGUGCUUGGCGAAGCCUUGUCGUAGUAGCACACAGCUCCACCGUCACCAUGUCGUCGUGCUGCCAGAGCUCUCCCUCAACCUCUUUGUUGGAUUUCGGGCUCCGCAAAACCAUAAAGAUUCGAACUCAGGGGCAUGUACGAAGAUCUCUCGAGGCUCACCUCACCUAACUCGCUACUCGCUGGGGAUGGUAGAGAACUCACUCGAUGGUGAGCAAGACACAGGGCACGGUAGUUUACCUAGGUUCAGCCACUGAGAAGUGUAAUACCCUACUCCUGCUUUGGUGGAUUGCCUCUCGUGAAGGUUGGUGGAUGAACUAGUAAAGUGUUCCAGGGCCUUCGGAGGCUGGGUGGCCUUUGUGUGCUGCAUGUGGGCGAAUGAAUGAAUCUCCCCCCUAUGAAUUAAACUUCUCUCCAUAUAUAUAGUGGCGGCCCCGGUCCUCUCCCCUUAUCAUUUCGGAGGGAAGGGAUCCCACAACAACCAAUUUUGAAGGGGAACAGGGGAACAAGCUCCCCUGCCCAAAGGUAGUCUUCGCCUGCAAAGUGGCUGUCAGUGCUAUAGGGACGGUUCCAGGGAUGACGUCUCCCUGCACGCGGGCGGCGAUGGCCUUGUUGCACCAGAAAGGAAACCUUUGGAAGAUGCCUUGGGAACCCCGGUACGUCCUUGCCACCUUUGCACUAAAUGGGAAACUGCUCUGUCCUGCUGUCUGCUGCUCGCAUGUCCUUCCUCCGCGUCAUCUUUGACUCCUAAGGCCGGGUCUCGCCUCGAAAUAUCCGCCGCUCUGGAGGGGGUCCUGAUGAGGCCCCCUGCGGAUCGAUGUUGUUCCUCCUUGCGAGGCUUGGCCCCUCGCGAGGACCGUGCGUUGAGUGGUACCGCGCCCGAUCAUGCUUGCUUGAUGAAGUGGGCCAGCCCUGGGCCACAGGCAGAUAGGUCUGGGUACCCCCAUUCCCAGAAGCCGCCAGUAUCCCCCGGGCACAUGACACGCUUAGGUUGGCUUCUGGGCGAAUCCUUGGGGGGCGGCCUGAGGCGCCGCGGGCCCUAAAUGCCUGUGGACCAGGCCGGUGCGUGUCACACGGCUGAUGUCGGGUCUCCCUUUCCUUCUGUCUUCACCUGGGUUAUAAGGAAUCUGACUCGUUGCGUUGGUCCAUUAUUGCUUUCCCUUCUCCCGCACUCGCUCUUCCUCCUCGGUCUCCAACUCCAACCAGCAUCUCCCACAUCCAACACCGCGUCGUUCCCUUGUCGGUUCAGCGAUGGCGCCCGCAGGCAAACAGAAGCCAGGGACGCAAGGUCCUGCCCCGGCUUCUCCACUCAUGGAGUGUGCCCUCUCCAAGGACGUGGAUCUUACCCCCGUGCUCCCAUGGACUGCGGCCAAGUCGAACAAGCACGGGAGGACCCUGAUCAGGCCCGACGCCACAGCAAAGCGGGCCUCGUCGAAGGCCGUAUACCCCUUCUUCCUACAUACGUCUUCGUCGGGUUGGUGCCGCCUUUCUCCUCAUUCUUCAUCGCCAUCCUGAACCACUAUGGGAUCCAGGCCCUUCACCUCCAGCCCAAAUCCAUCUUUCCCCUGUCCGUCUUUGCUUUCUACUGCAAGGCAUUCGUAGGCGUGUGACCUUCGGUAGCCCUCUUCCGCCAUUUCUUUAGCCUGCGCCUCCACGACAACACCCAUUUGUCGGCAUGUGUUUCCUUCAUAGCGGCCCAGGGCGACAAUUUGCUCCUGAAGGCCGGGAAGAAGGUGGAAACUUUAGGCAUCGUUGGGUUUUCAUGAGACUCAAGGACGCCAACCUUUGGCUGGAGGUGCCGAAGGGGCUACCGGAGAAGACUCCUGCGUGGAGCUUAGCGAAGCUCUCCGACCCUCGGGAUAUGCCCAUCCUCGAGCGCUUCUCCCGCGACAUCAGCGCCAAGAGGCUGACCGGUGGGAUGAUAGUGAAGGAAUUCUUGGCGCAGCACUGCUACGGCAACAAAAGUUCUUCCCCGGUAGUGGUGCCAGAGAUCCUUCUGUCGUCUCUUGGCCUUGCGUUGGUUCUUCCCUUGAAGAGGAAAGGGUGAUGCAGCAUAGGAGCAGUAAGUAUUUCCCUCAGUUUGAGAACCAAGGUAUCAAUCGAGAAGGAGGGUCUCGUCAAGUCCAGAGUACCUGCGCAAACACAAACAAGCUUGCACCCAACGCUUCAAAGCGGUUGUUAAUCCCUUCAAGAUUGUUUGCAAAGUGAGAUCUGAAGGCGGAAAGUGCAACGAAGUAAAAAGUGUAAGGUUGAAAAUAUGGUGUGGAGUAGACCCGGGGGCCAUAGUGUUCACUAGAGGCUUCUCUCAAAAUAGCAAAUAUCACGGUGGGUGAACAAAUUACUGUCGAGCAAUUGAUAGAACCGCGCAAAGUCAUGACGAUAUCUAAGGCAAUGAUCAAACAUAUAGGCAUCACGUCCGAGACAAGUAGACCGAUACUUUCUGUAUCUACUACUAUUACUCCACACAUUGACCGCUAUCCAGCAUGAAUAUAGUGUAUUGAGUUCAUGACGAACAAAGUAACGCCUUAAGCAAGAUGACAUGAUGUAGAGGGAUAAUCUCAAACCAAUGAUGAAAAUCCCAUCUUUUUACCCUUGAUGGCAACAACACGAUGCGUGCCUCGCUACCCCUUCUGUCACUCGGUGAGGUCACCGCACGGUAUGAACCCAAAACCAACCACUUCUCCCAUUGCAAGAAUCAUAGAUCUAGUUGGCCAGACAAAACCCACAACUCGAAGAGAAUUACAAGGAUAUGAAAUCAUGCAUAAGAGAGAUCAGAAGAAACUCNNNNNNNNNNNNNNNNNNNNNNNNNNNNNNNNNNNNNNNNNNNNNNNNNNNNNNNNNNNNNNNNNNNNNNNNNNNNNNNNNNNNNNNNNNNNNNNNNNNNNNNNNNNNNNNNNNNNNNNNNNNNNNNNNNNNNNNNNNNNNNNNNNNNNNNNNNNNNNNNNNNNNNNNNNNNNNNNNNNNNNNNNNNNNNNNNNNNNNNNNNNNNNNNNNNNNNNNNNNNNNNNNNNNNNNNNNNNNNNNNNNNNNNNNNNNNNNNNNNNNNNNNNNNNNNNNNNNNNNNNNNNNNNNNNNNNNNNNNNNNNNNNNNNNNNNNNNNNNNNNNNNNNGAUAGAUCUCCAUGAGGAUCAUGGACAACUUUGUAUUGAAGAUCCAAGAGAGAGAAGAAGCCAUCUAGUUACUAGCAAUGGACCCAUAGGUCUAUGGUGAACUACUCACACAUCAUCGGAGAGGUCAUGGUGUUGAUGAAGAAGCCCUCCGUGUCCGAAUCCCCCCUCCGGCAGGGCACCAGAAUGUGCCCUAGAUGGGAUCUUGCAGAAACAGAAGCUUGCGAUGGCGGAAAAGUGAUUUCGAUGAUCUCAUGAUUUUUUGUUAUUUUUAGGGAAUAUAUAGGCUAAACCCCUAGGGCAGAGGGCGCCCAGGGGGCCCACAAGCCUGUGGGUCGCGGCCUCCCCCUUGACGCGGGGUGGGGGUUUGUGGGGCCCCUGAGGCUCCCCUGCCUUUGCUCCCAAGCUUCCUGAUCUUCUUUCGUAAUGGGAAAAAUCUUUUCAGGGAUCUUCUUCUGUUUGGACUCCGUUUCAAAAUCUCCUCUGAAAGGGGUCAAAAACAUGGAAAAAACAGGAACUGACACUUAGCACUGAGUUAAUAAGUUAGUCCCAAAAAAUAUAUAAAAGGCAUGCAAAACAUACAAAGUUUGACAAGAUAAUAGCAUGAAACCAUUAAAAAUUAUAGAUACGUUGGAGACGUACCAAGCAUCCCCAAGCUUAACUCCUUCUCGUCCUCGAGUAGGGAAGUGAUAAAGAAUGAAUUGUUGAUGUGGAAUGCUACCUAGCAUAGUUGUCCUUUGCAACUUCUUUCACGUGAGAUGAAUGUUCAGAUCCGUAAGAUUCAAAACAAUAGUUUUCUAUUGACAUGAAAACAAUAAUACUUCAAGAAAACUAGCAAGGUAAUCAUGAACUUUCAAAAUAACAAGGCCAAGGAAAGUUAUCCCUACAAAAUCAUAUAGUCUGGCUAUGCUCCAUAAUCCUCACAGAACUAAUGUAAAUCAUGCACAACCCCGGUAUUGGCCAAGUAUUUGUUUUCGCACUCUUGCUUUCUCAAACUUUUUAUAACUAUCACGCAAUACAUGAGCGUGAGCCAUGGAUAUAACACUAUUGGUGGAAUAGAGUGCGGUGGUGGUCGUGAGACAAAAAGGAGGAGAUAGUCACAUUGACUCGGCGUAUUAAAAGGCUAUGGAGAUGCCCAUUAAUAGAUAUCAAUGCGAAUGAGUAGGGAUUGCCAGACAAGAGAUGCACUAGAGCUAUAAGUAUGUGAAAGGUCAUAAGGAAAACUAGUGGGUGUGCAUUCAACUUGCUUGCACACGAAGACCUAGGGCAAUUGAGGAGGCCCAUCAUUGGAAUAUACAAGCCAAGUUAUAUAAUGAAGAUUCCCACUAGCAUAUGGUCGUGACAAAGCAAGAAAAUUUCAAUCACAAAGAACAUGGUGCUAUUAUGUAGCACAAGUGUGGAAAAAGAUAGUAGCAUUGUCCCUUCUCUCUUUCUCUCUCUCUUUUUUUAUUUGGGCUCUUAGGCCUCUUUUUUUUUCUUUUCUUUUCUCCCCUUUUUUGUUUUUGGGCUCUUUGGCCUCUUUUUAUUUAUUUAUUUCCUCACAUGGGACAAUGCUCUAAUAAUGAUGAUCAUCACACUUUUAUUUACUCACAGCUUCAAAGCUCAAAAUGAUGAUGACUCUAUAGGAAAUGCCUCCGAUAGUGUACCGGGAUGUGCAACAAUCUAGCAUGGCGUAUGACGUUGAGAACAUCUCGCUAGCUAUCUUAUGAUCAUGCAAUGGCAAUAUGAGAGUGACGGCACAAGUCAUGAGACGGAACGGUGGGAGUUGCAUGGCAAUAUAUCUCGGAAUGGCUAUGAAAAUGCCAUAGUAGGUAGGUAUGGUGGCUGUUUUGAGGAAGGCAUAUGGUGGGUUUGUGUAUCGGCGAGAAUUGCGCGGCACUAGAGAGGCUAGCAACGGUGGAAGGUGAAAGUGCAUCUAUACUAAGGAGUCACAUUAGUCAUGAAGAACUCACAUACUUUUUGCGAAAGUUUUUAUUAGUAGUCGAAACAAAGUGCUAAACGCGUACUCCUAGGGGAAGGGUUGGUAGGUGUAAACCAUCGCGCGAUCCCGACCUCAACACAAAGGAUGACAAUCAAUAGAUCAAUUAUGCUCCGACUUUCUAACAUAGCGGUUCACCAUACGUGCAUGCUACGGGACUCACUAACUUCAGCACGAGUAUUUCUAUUUUCACAACACCCUACUAACAUAGCUCUCAAUAUUACCAAAUCCACGUCUCAAAACUAAUUGAGAGGAAUCAAAACUUCUCUUUCUAUUCAAUGCACAUGAAGAUGGAGGUUUUUUGCAUCCUCUUUGGGUACCUAUCACAUUCGGGACUACUUUAAUAGCAUAAGCCAACUACCAAAUCACGCACCGCCGUGCUCUAAAAGAUAUAAGUGAAGCAGUAGAGCAAAAGUAUCUAGCUCAAAAGAUAUAAGUGAAGCACUAUGAGCAUUCUAGCAAAAUCACGAUGAGUGCAUGUCUCUCUCUCUCUCUCAAAAAGGUCUGGAGCAAGGAUAUUUGUGACACAACAAAAAUAAAAGAAUCCUACGAUACAAGAAGCUCCAAGCAAAACACAUAUCAUGUGGUGAAUAAAAAUAUAGCUCCAAGUAAAGUUACCGAUGGAUUGAGGACGAAAGAGGGGAUGCCUUCCCGGGGCAUCCCCAAGCUUAGGCUUUUUUGUGUCCUUGAAUUUUGGCAUGGGAUGCCUUGGGCAUCCCCAAGACUUGAGCUAUUUCCACUCCUUAUCUCAUCGUCCAUGAGAACAUCACCCAAAACUUGAAAACUUCACAACACAAAACUUAAACAGAAACUCGUGAUAACAUUAGUACAAGAAAACAAACUACCACUUCUUUUGGUACUGUAGAAAACUUGAAUUCUAUCUAUAUUGGUGUUGGGCUAAUGUAUUCUCACUUUUCCAUGCAUAGUACCCACGAUACUAACCAUAGUUUCAUCAAAACAAGCAACCAACUCAACAAAAACAGAAUCUGUCAAAAACAAACCAGUCUGUAGCAAUCUGUAUACUUCGUAUACUUCUGGUACCUCAAAAAAUCUAAAACAUUACAGAGGCCUGGGAAAAAAGCAUAUCAGACACUAUAAAAAAGAAUAAACUCAAAAGCUCUUUGUGAAUAAAAAUGAAAAAUCAUCUCGUGAGCGUAAAGUUUCUGUCUUUUUCCAGCACGAUCAAACAACCAUUACCAAGACUAGUCAUAAAGGUUUUGCUUGGCUCAAACACAAAAGGAAACACAAAAAACACAAUCACAACAGAAUUGUGAUGGUGUGGACGCAACGAAACAGAAAGAAAAAAUAUAAAUUAGUUGGGUUGCCUCCCAACAAGCGCUAUUGUUUAACGCCCUUAGCUAGCCAUAAGGAUUUUAAUGAUACUCACAUAAAAGAUAGUAAUCGGACACGAAGAGAGCAUCAUGAAACAUGUGAAAAUCACAUCUAAGUCUAACGUACUUCCUAUGCAUAGGCAUUUUAUAGGAAAACAGAUUGUGAAGACAACCAAUAGUUACCAUAUGCAAGGAAGAAGAAAGAGAUAAUAGCAAUCUCCACAUAACGAGAGGUAAUUUGGUAACAUGAAAGUUUCUACCACAAUAUUUUCCUCUCUCAUAGCAAUUACAUGUGGGAUCAUAAUCAAAAUCAACAAAAUAGCUAUCAGAGAGGAUAUUCUUUUCAUGAUCCACAUGCAUGCAAAGUUGACGCUCUUCAAAAAUAGUAGGAUUAUCAUCAACUAAAGUCAUGACUUCUCCAAACCCACUUUCAAUAAUAUUGCAAAUAUCAUUGCAACAAGUAGUGGACAUAGAAAAACUAGCAUCCCCAAACUUAGGGUUUUGCAUAUUUUUAGCAUGAUUGUCAUUAAUAGAAUUUAUAAUGAAAUCAUUGCAAUCAUGCUUUUCAUUCAAGGAGCCCUCGUGAAUCAUUUCAUAAAUUUCUUCAUCACGAUUUUUAGAUUCACGCAUCUCAAGCAAAACUCCAUUGAGAAAGUCAAGUGCACUCAACUCACUAGCAAUUGGUUCCACAUAAGUGGAUCUAUUAAAGAGAUUAGCAAGUGGGUGAGGAUCCAUAUCACUAGAUUUUCAGCAAGCGAAGAUACAAGCAUAUUGAAGGCAAAUAGCACACAAGCAAAGGAAAGGCAAUCGAAAAAAGGCAAAUAUUUUUGUAAAUUUUUGUUUUUCAGAAGUGGGGGAGAGGAAAACGAGAGGCAAAAAACGUAAAUGCAAGAGAUGAGUUUGCGACACUUACUUGGAUGAGUUCUUGACUUGAUCUUCCUCCUCGGCAAAGGCGCCCGAAAUUCUUCUGCUACGGGAACAAAAGUUCUUCCCCGGUAGUGGUGCCGGAGAUCCUUCUGUCGUCUCUUGGGCUUGUGUUGGUUCUUCGCUUGAAGAGGAAAGGGUGAUGCAGCACAGGAGCAGUAAGUAUUUCCCUUAGUUUGAGAACCAAGGUAUCGAUCCAUAAGGAGGGUCUCGUCAAGUCAAUGUACCUGCGCAAACACAAACAAGCUUGCACACACCGCUUCAAAGGGGUUGCCAAUCCCUUCAAGAUUGUUUGCAAAGUGAGAUCUGAAUGCGGAAAGUGCAACGAAGUAAAAAGUGUAAGGCUGCAAAUAUGGUGUGGAGUAGACCCGGGGGCCGUAGUGUUCACUAGAGGCUUCUCUCAAAAUAGCAAAUAUCACGGUGGGUGAACAAAUUACUGUUGAACAAUUGAUAGAACCGAGCAAAGUCAUGACGAUAUCUAAGGCAAUGAUCAUACAUAUAGGCAUCACGUCCGAGACAAGUAGACCGAUACUUUCUGCAUCUACUACUAUUACUCCACACAUCGACUGCUAUCCAGCAUGCAUCUAGUGUAUUGAGUUCAUGACGAACAGAGUAAUGCCUUAAGCAAGAUGACAUGAUGUAGAGGGAUAAUCUCAAACCAAUGAUGAAAACCCCAUCUUUUUACCCUUAAUGGCAACAACAUGAUGCAUGCCUCGCUACCCCUUCUGUCACUGGGUGAAGUCACCGCACGGUAUGAACCCAAAACCAAGCACUUCUCCCAUUGCAAGAAUCAUAGAUCUAGUUGGCCAGACAAGACCCACAACUCGAAGAGAAUUACAAGGAUAUGAAAUCAUGCAUAAGAGAGAUCAGAAGAAACUCAAAUAAGAUUCAUAGAUAAUCUGAUCAUAAAUCCACAAUUCAUCGGAUCUCGACAAACACACCGCAAAACAAGAUUACAUCAGAUAGAUCUCCAUGAGGAUCAUGGAGAACUUUGUAUUGAAGAUCCAAGAGAGAGAAGAAGCCAUCUAGUUACUAGCUAUGGACCCGUAGGUCUAUGGUGAACUACUCACGCAUCAUCGAAGAGGUCAUGGUGCUGAUGAAGAAGCCCUCCGUGUCCAAAUCACCCCUCCGGUAGGGCACCAGAGCGGGCCACAGAUGGGAUCUUGCGGAAACAGAAGCUUGCGGCGGCGGAAAAGUGAUUUCGAUGAUCUCCUGAUUUUUUUGGGAUUUUUAGGGAAUAUAUAGGCGCAACCCCUAGGGCAGAGGGCGCCCAGGGGGCCCACAAGCCUAUGGGCCGCGGCCUCCCCCAGCCGCGGGGGCUUGUGGGGCCCUGAGGCUCCCCUGCCUUGGCUCCCAAGCUUCCCGAUCUUCUUCCGGUACGGAAAAAAUAUUUUCGGGGAUUUUCUUCUGUUUGGACUCCGUUUCAAAAUCUCCUCUGAAAGGGGUCAAAAACAUGGAAAAAACAUGAACUGGCACUUGGCACUGAGUUAAUAAGUUAGUCCCAAAAAAUAUAUAAAAGGCAUGCAAAACAUCCAAAGUUUGACAAGAUAAUAGCAUGAAACCAUCAAAAAUUAUAGAUACGUUGGAGACGUAUCAAGCACCUGGCGCCCUUCAGGCCCAUUCCAGGCCCCUCUGGGACUACCAGCUUGGUGACGACAAGCUCAGGCUCCAGUCCAAGGACCUUCCUACUGAGGAGCUGAACAGGGUCGUGACGACCCUGCUGGGUGGUGACCCUGGUGACCUGCCCGAGGCUCUCGGUCGCCCUACCAUCUCGUCGAGCGGGCCGACGUGAUCGUCGCGCUGUCUUUCUUCGAUGAGCGGCGGCUCUUCCCGGCCGAGGGCUCUGGUCAGGUAGAGGUGUCAUCGGACGACACCUUCGGUGUGCAGGACUCGGAGAAGACCGUUGACGACUGCCCGGUGAGCGCGCCUCUCCCCUCACGGGCCGUCCUUCUGUGUGAGCUUGAAGACGACGAUGUCACCAGCGAAGUCUCCACGGUGAUCCCCUCGCGCCAGACCAGGAUCUCCACGGGAUCCGCGUCGGCCCCACACGCCACGCGGUCCGUUUCCAUGCUCACCCCUCGAGAGCACGGGGCUGAGUUGCCCUUGGUGAAUCCUUCCUCCGUCGGCGGGAAGUGUGAGGCUCCAGGCUCGCCCCCCUCCGUGGGGGGGCCUGUUGCCCCUGCCAUUGGCGGGGCGGAGAGGAAGAGGAGAUGGGUCGACGUCGAAGAGUAUGUGACUCGUCUUGGCACGCCCCGCACGUCCAUCAUCCGCGCAUGGCUUAUUCACUUUCUGCCUGAUGUCUAGGGGCGUUGCCUCGCUGGGGGCGAAGAAGAAGAAGGCGGGCAUCAAGCCGAAGGCGACUCCUGACGCACCGCCGACCAUUCCCAACGCGUCGCCGCCUAGCGAUGAAGAAGGGGAGGCUCGCGGGGCGACCUCCAGGCCUUGGUCGCCGAGACCCCCAAGCCCCCGAAGCAUCCUGAGGAGGUCGUGGCGGCACCGUUGCCCGAGGGGCAGGCUCUCGAUGGCCCUGAGUCUUCUAAUGCGCCAAUGCUCGCAAUCUCCGGGCAACCUUCGGAGCCCCCUGUCCCUCGUGUCGCUGCCUCCCCGGCGAUACCGCCCGCGACAGCACUAGAGGCUCCCCAGGGAGAAAUCUAGAGGACUUCGGUAUACGUCCAGGGCAUCCUGAACGAGGCCUUCGGUGCCCUUGGCAAGGUCGCGGUCGUGAUGGCGAAAGGCGAGAAGGAGGCCAAGGCCAAUCGCGCUGCGCGCAAGGAGGCGCUGAAGGAAGCCGAAUCCGCUCGCGCCGUGCGUGAGGAGGCGAUGAAGGAAGCCGAAUCCGCUCGCGCCACGCGCGAGGAGGCGAUAGAAGGAGCCGCGACGGCUUCCAAACACUACGAAGAUGUGGAGGCUCGCCUGUAGGCCUUCGAAGAAGAACAAGCCAAGCUAGCCGAGCAGCUUCGCCUACGGGAGGAAGAACUCGAUGCCCGCAAGACCAAGCUCGCUGUCCGAGAAGAAGAGCUAUCUAAGGAGGAAACUCGGCUGGGCGCGAAGCAGGCACGCUUGGCUGAGCAGGAGAAGCAGAUCGCCUCAAAGAAGACCCUUCUCGAUGCCAAGGGGGAAGCCCUCGCCGCGGUCGAGAAGAAGAAGGCCGUGGAGAUGGUCGGCUUACCUGACGUUGAGCUGAGGCUUCGCAGGGCGCUCCACACCCUCAGCCGGGAUGGGUUCGACGAGCCUCUGGCCACCCCAGAGGGCAGCUUCGCUAUGGCGUUGGAGGACGCCGUCAUCCAGGUGGACAAGAUCUUGGACAGUGAGUGUCGCGACCUCUUUUCCGAGGUCGCGACACGCGUCUUCAAUCACCUUCAUCUUCGUGAGCUGGGGAUUCACUUCAACUCCGUGAUCCUGCCGGUCCCUACUGACGCCAGCGAUAGCGCGGAGGCGGUGAAAGGCCCCGUGGAGGCGUUGGUGAAGAGGUUCGCCCGUGUCACUGUUCCCCCAUCUCCGGAUGCCGCUGAAGCGGACGACGGGGAAGACAACGCCACUAACGCCAACGACAAGCCCCAUGAAGAUGGAGCGACCGGCAGCUGCGGUUCCUCCUGAUUUCUUCCCCCUGUUUUUUCCCUGCAAUGCACACCGUGCCUCGUGGAGGCAUCAAACUCAUUUGCGUUUCUAAAACUUGUUAAGGCUUGUAAUAACUGGCUUACUGCUUGAAUGUUUUCUUCGCCUCGUUUCUUUAAUGUUUUCUCUGAUACUUUGCGUCGUCACGGCCCGGCCCGCGCAUACCUCACCCACCAUUGAACCGACCGGAUUCCAGGACGACCCAAGAAGUGAGGGGCUACGGGUCUAGUUAGGCUCCUGAGUCGGUAUGCUCUGGAGUCCCCCUUGACGUGCGAGCAGCCCCCAUAAGGGGAACGCGGCGAGGAUUUUGAAACUUCAGAACACCUUGAGCACUUUGUGUCGGCAGGGCCCACCCCGCGCGUACCUCCGCCGCCAUUGGACCAACCGGAUACUAGGACGACCCAAUGGGGAAGGGGCUACGAGCACAGUUAGGCCCUUGAGUCGCGAUGCUCAGGAGUCCACCUUGACGUACGAGCGAAUCCAAUAUCCCUCCUAAGAAACUGACAAUUUUAGACUCCCGAACUCCUUCAGCACUCUGCGUUGGUACGGCCCGCCUCGCGCGUACCUCUGCCGCCAUUGGACCAAUUGGAUACUAGGACAACCCAAGGGGGAAGGGGCUACGAGCACGGUUAGGCCCCUGAGUCAUGAUGCUCUGGAGUCCCCCUUGACGCACGAGCGACUCCAAUGUCCCUCCUAAGAAACUGAAAAUUUGAGACUCCCGAACUCCUUCGACACUCUGCAUCGGCAGGGUCCUCCCCGCGCGCACCUUCGCCGCUGUUGGACCGCGUGGGCGGCCCAAGAGGGAAGGGGCUACGGGCGCAGUUCAGGCACCCGAGUCGCGAUGCUCAGGAGUCCCCCUUGACGUAUGAGUGACUCCAGCGUUCUCCCUAAGAGAUUUUAAGUGGCUUGUUGAGCGCAUUAGGCUCUGCGUAGGCAGGGCCUGCACCGCGCGUACCUCCACCGCCGUUGAACCGACCGGAUUCCAGGACAGCCCAAGAGGGAAGGGUCUACGGGCGCAGUUAGGCCCCUGAGUCUAGAUGCUCCGGGGUCCCCCUUGACGUACGAGCGGCUCCGUACCUCCAGUUGUGUGUCCCCCGCACUGGCUGUGGGCGUAGUCGUAGGUGGACUGGGUUGACUUCCUGGCCAGCUGUGGGCAUAGUCAUUGGUGGACUGUGUUGAUUUCCUUGCCAGCUGUGGGCAUAGUCAUUGGUGGACUGUGUUGAUUUCCUUGCCAGCUACGGGCAUAGUCAUUGAUGAGCUGUGUUGAUUUCCUUGCCAGCUGCGGGCAUAGUCAUUGACGGACUGAGUUGAUUGCCUCCAUCUUCUUCCCGGCGAGGAGCGUAGGCCUACCACUAGGCAUGGGACGGACCCCUCCUUGUCCUAGGGGGCCCCGGGCGUAUACAGCCGCAACUCGUUAUUACGUGAGUGUGUCACGGGAAAGGGGGUGUAUCUGGGAGGUCGCAAGGACACUUUGGCUUCGUGAGUGUCCCUACCCCCGAGGCAUAGGCGCCUGAUUCCUUUUGAGUCUUCACCCAACACAGAGCAUAGGUCAUCCACUUGGCAUGGGAGGGACCCCUCCGCAUCCUCGAGGGGCCCCGGGCAUAUACAACCGCAGCUCGUUAUUAUGUGAGAGUGUCACGGGGGGGUGUAUCUAGGAGGUCGCGAGGAUGCUUUGGCCUUGCGAGUGUCCCUACCCCCGAGGCAUAGACGCCUGAUUCCUUUUGGGUCAUUGGUAAACCCUACUGACUUCUUCUUCUUCGGGAGUGAGGCAGGGUGUCUACUGCCUUAGGAGGCCUACAAGGGUAAGAUUCGACUGGAGCCCCCAAGUAGGGGGGACCACCCAAAGAUGCAAUCAAGGUAGAACGUUAGGGUUCGAAGUGGGUAUGACAAAAACAACUGAAGGAUGCUUAAAUGAAAGUGGCGGCUCGGGAGUGCCCUGAACUCCUGGAGGCCACAUGGCCCUGUGGGCGCCCUCGGACAGAGUGAGCCAAAAAGUUACCUCGUAGCAGCCAACAAAAAGUCACCUGGCGGCCAUGCCACUAUAGUGUCGAGGGCGUUAUCGUCGCCCGAUCUCCGGAUUCCAUGAUCGUGAACCUCACGGGUUCGCCGUCCCGAGGCUCGGGAACUUCGCUUGGACCGAGCAUAUCCUCCUCUUCGUCACGCGCCCGAACACGCAAGGCAUGAGCAUGGCUCGCUAGAGCCAUCGGUAGGUAGCAGUCGCGUUCCCGAGUCCGAAGGGCAAGAGGGUGCGAGCGCCCGGGCACACCCAUCGGUGGUCAGUUCACGUGGGCCAGAAGGGGCCUUGAUCUGUGGCUCUUUCUAUUGCGAGCACGUUGAAGCAGAUGCGGGGUGAUCGACCGUGCCGCCGACGACGACUGUGAUUGGUGAUGCAGGGCAGUCCCCGCCUCGCACGGCCUGGGCCUCUCAAAGUUCUUGGGUUGCUAUGAUGACAGACUCACGGGAGCUGGGCGGACGUGCGCCGGACUGCACCCUCGGGUUAUGCUCGAGCGCCACCCUCGCCUCACUGGUCUGGCCGGGAACCUCCCCGGUGGGAGCCCCCAGGCCUGACCCAAGGGGGCCGCCGAGCGCGCCUUCCUAUGCGAUGUAAAGCAUGACCCCGUCCCCGGGCACGGAGUCCAAAGUCCCGGGGUGCUCUAUGGGGAGGAGCUUCUUCUUCUGCUUGCGUGGGUCCUCAUGAGGUGGCUUGUCUUCUUUGUUUUCCGAGCGUUCCAUCGUCGCAGCGUGGUAGGCGCGCUCGAGUGUAUAGACGACAUCCUUCUCGUCGCAGGCGAUGGUGAUGCGCUGCCGCUCCCUGGAAUCUUGAGGACGUUGUAGCCAUGGUGGGUCACUGCCAUGAACUUGGCGAGAGCCGGGUACCCAAGGAUCGCGUUGCAUGGCUGGUGGAUGUGCGCGAUGUUGAAGAUGCUGAUCUCGAUGUGGUAGUUCUUGCGCUCGCCGGAAGUGACUGGCAUACGCACUUACCCGAUGGGCAUGGUGGACCCCUCCAUGACUCCUGAGAAGGGCUUGGUCGGCAUCAGUUGUUCGUACGACAGUUGGAGUGUCUCGAAGGUCUCGACCAAGAGGACGUUGAUCCCUGCUCCACUCUUGAUAAAGGUCUUGGUGACGAGGACGUUGCUGAUGGUCAGGGUGCACAUCAUGGGGAGCUUGCCGGCCAUGAACGAGCACCUGAGCUGAUCACUUGGGUCGAAGGUGAUGGUGGUAUGGGACCAGUUGAGGGGCGCAUCACUUUAGGCUUCGGGAGAGAGUCAUACACCUCCCGGAUGAACUGCUUGAAGGCGCGGUUCGAGGCCGGGGUCUGGGCGCCGCCCAGGAUGGAGGCCCCCACCCUAACCUCCUGGAAGCCCCCAACCCCAUCAUUCUGCUUGUCUUCAUCCCUCCUUCUGGGUGGCGGAGGCAGCGGGGACAACCCAGCCUCACGAGGGCGAGCCUCACGAGGCUGACCGCGUCAUUGCCCCUCGUGAAGGUCGUCGCGCUAGUGGUCGUCCCGAGCCUGGUCGCGCCAGCGGUCCUCCUGAGGUUGGCCGCGCCAACGGUCUUCAUGAGGCUGUUCAUGCCACCCCUGACGCGGCUCCCGAUCAUCCCAGCGGCCUCCACUGUGACCACCACCACGCGCGGGGCCUCUGUCUCCCCUUCCGAGGCGCCUGCUGAAGUGCUCGGCACGGACCAGUCGGAGCUUGUGGCACUCGGAGGUGUCAUGGGCGCUGGUGCCGUGGAAGAUGCACAUUGGCCCCCCUCCUGACGGACGCUCUCCCCCUCGGCUGUACUUUGCCUCAGGCUCGGCUGCGAGCACCGCCAGAGCCUUGCGCUUUGUCUCCUUGGCCUUGGUCUUCUUCUCUUCUGGUUCCGCUGCCUCAGGCUCGAGGAGCGACAUGCGACCUUCUUCAGCCCUGGCGCAGUUGUUUGCCAGGUUCAACAUCUCCAGUGCAGUGCUCAUUUCAUCACUCAUGGCGAGCUCCUCCUUCAUCUUGAGGUCGGUGACUCCUUCCGAGAAGACCGAGAUGACGGCCUCGUCCGACGCCCUGGGGAUCUUGAGGCGCAUUGUCGUGAAGCGAUGUAUGAACAUGUGCAGGGUCUCCCCCUCCUGCUGUUUGGUGCGCCGUAGGUCGUUCACGGUGGGAGCGCAGUCACGGGUGCCCUAGGAAUUGGCGAUGAAGCAUUCACACAGAUUAUCCCAGGGGGUGACGUACGCCUUUGGGAGGUUGAGCAGCCAAGAGUGCGCGCCUCCCUUGAGCACCAUGGGUAACCAGCAUGCCAUGACCUUGUCGCCCCCUCCUUCCUCCCUAAGACUCAGUGUGUAGAGUUGCAGGAACUCGGUCGGGUCCAGGGUGCCGUCGUGGCAUGGGGGUAGGUCGGGCUUUAACUUGCAGGGCCACGUAGUUGGGUAGAGCUCAGGGGCGAUGGCGAGUUACCCCAUUGGCCCGACAAGUGCAAUGCGCGCGAGGGCGACCUGGUCCUGUUGCUCCAAGGGGUCUACUUCGAAAGGGGCACACUCCCGGUGCGAGAUUUGUAGCGCCAGGAGCACGUGUGUGUCGGCGCGUGGCCGAGGAACCACCCGAAAGCUUGCUUCAUCUCUUGGUCUCACCCUAGGUUCGUGACGCCGGUCGCGGGGACGCGCUUCCUUCCUGGGUUUGGGGUGCACACCAUGCCGCAGAGGUGGGGGUGGUGGGUCUUGCUCCUCGUCGUUCUCUAAGGACGGUUGGGGUCAAAACGAGCAGGAGAGCACCCCGGGAUCAUCGACAGCGGCGACGAGCUCCUUGAUGCGCUGGAGCGAGUCGUUGUGGCGGUCAAGGGCGGGCCGGUAGCAGAGCAGCUCGACAGCCAUGGCAAGCACGCGUCGGCCAUGCGGCAUCUCUCGCCAGGCGCGCGAGGCCGACUCGGAAGCCCGGACGAGCGAUGGAUUGACGAUGCGGCCGUCGGGCUGCUCGGUAGCCGGCUGGGAGGAACCUUUCUAUUCUUGAGCAUCAGGGCCCAUGGCGGCGUUCACCAUGGGUGAUGGUGAACGGCGCACGCCGGUGGGCCCCAUGGGUUCCGUCUUAGCAACACGGAUGGCGCGGCGCUCAGCGCGAGCCCGGCGAGCGUCAGCCAUCGGAGCGGCGAAGCUUGGGAAGGCGGAGCUUGGAGGAAACCUUGACACGCCCCUACCUGGCGUGCCAAACGUCGGAUUUCGGGCUCCGCAAAACCCUAAAGAUUCGAACUCAGGGGCGUGUACGAAGAUCUCUCGCAGACUUGCCUCACCUAACUCGCUACUCGCUGGGGAUGGCAGAGAACUCACUCGAUGGUGAGGAAGACACAUGACACGACAGUUUACCCAGAUUCGGGCCGCUGAGAAGCGUAAUACCCUACUCCUGAUUUGGUGGAUUGCCUCUCGUGGAGGUUGGUGGAUGAACUAGUACAGUGUUCGAGGGCCUCCGGAGGCUGGGUGGCCUUUCUGUGGUGCAGGUGGGUGAAUGAAUGAAUCUCCCCCUAUGAAGUAACCUACUCUCCAUAUAUAUAGUGGCGGCCCCGGUCGUCUUCCCUUAUCGUUUCGGCGGGAAGGGAUCCCACAACGGCCAAUUUUGAAGGGGAACACGGGAACAUGCUCCCCUGCCCAAAGGUAGUCUUCGCCUCCAAAGUGGCUGCCAGCGCUGCAGGGACGGGUCCAGGGAUGACGUGUGCCCUGCAGGCGGGCGGUGAUGGCCUUGUCGCACGAGAAAGGAAACCUUUUGAAGAUGCCCUCGGAACCCCGGUACGUCCUUGCCCCCUUUGCACUAAAGGGGAAACUGCUCUGUCCUGCUGUCUGCUGCUCGCGUGUCCUUUCUCCGCGUCAUCCUUGACUCCUGAGGUCGGGUCUCACCUCGGAAUAUCCGCCGCUCCGGAGGGGUACUGAUGGGGCCCCCUGCGGUUCUUGAUGUUGUUCCUCCUUGCAAGGCUUGGCCCCUCGCGAGGACCUUGCCUUGAGUGGUACCGCGCCCGAUCGUGCUUGCUUGAUGAAGUGGGCCAGCCCUGGGCUGCAGGCAGACAGGUCUGGGUACCCCCAUUCCUAGAACGCCGACACUCUCCUCCCUCCUUGCUAGAUCAAGGCGUUGGAGACGUCACCGGGCUGCACGUGUGUUGAACGUGGAGGCACCGUGAUUCGGUGCAUAGAUCGGAAUCCACCGCGAUAUGAAUCGCUGCGAGUACGACUCCAUCAACCGCGUUCUAUAAACACUUCCGCUUAGCGAUCUUCAAAGGUAUGAAGAUGUUCUACCCCUUUGCUCGUUGUUGGUUUCUCCAUAGAUAGAUCGUUGUGUGAAGUAGGAUUUUUUUGAAAUUACUAUGUUCCCCAACAAGGACCAGGUAAUGGAGUCCUCAGUGUCACGAUAAAGCUGGAUAUCCGAGAGGAGCUCCGAGAGGCGGACGUAUUAUUCCAUGUGUUCGACCGUGAACACAUCCACCGCAAAGUCUGAGUUCCAGUUGUUAUCAGCGUGAGCGUCCUCGACCGCCCGAUUCUUCCUCUUGGAAGCCUUGAAAAUAAGGGGAGCCAGGUUUUUUGGCGGGACGCCGUGGAGCCAUGAAGACGACCAGAAGGAGGCCUUGGCGCCAUUUCCGAUGGUGACGCGAGUAGCCGCAUUGAAGAGGUCAAGGUAGAAGGCGUCGUUGGGGGUUUCAGAGCUCACCCAUGGCUUCUCAGGAGCCUUCCACUCAUACCAUAACCAGCGAAACCUCAAGGCCCGGGAGAACUUCUCCAGGUCCAUGCUACGAUAACAAAAGUCAAUCCCCGGCAACGCCAGGAAUUCUUCUUUCUACUUCUCUUGUUUGCGGCGGUUUUUCCCUUGAAGAAGAAAGGGUGAUGCACCACAGGAGCAGUAAGUAUUUCCCUCAGUUUGAGAACCAAGGUAUCGAUCCAGAAGGAGAGUCUCGUCAAGUCCAGAGUACCUGUGCAAACACAAACAAGCUUGCACCCAACGCUUCAAAGGGGUUGUCAAUCCCUUCAAGAUUGUUUGCAAAGUGAGAUCUGAAGGCGGAAAGUGCAACGAAGUAAAAAGGUGUAAGGCUGAAAAUAUGGUGUGGAGUAGACCCGGGGGACAUAGUGUUCACUAGAGGCUUCUCACAAAAUAGGAAAUAUCACGGUGGGUGAACAAAUUACUGUCGAGCAAUUGAUAGAACCGUGCAAAGUCAUGACGAUAUCUAAGGCAAUGAUCAUACAUAUAGGCAUCACGUCCGAGACAAGUAGACUGAUACUUUCUGCAUCUACUACGAUUAAUCCACACAUCGACCGCUAUCUAGCAUGCAUCUAGUGUAUUGAGUUAAUGACGAACAGAGUAACGCUUUAAGCAAGAUGACAUCAUGUAGAGGGAUAAUCUCAAACCAAUGAUGAAAACCCCAUCUUUUUACCAUUGAUGGCACUAACACGAUGAGUUCCUCGCUAUCCCUUCUGUCACUGGGUGAGGUCACCGCACGGUAUGAACCCAAAACCAAGCACUUCACCCAUUGCAAUAAUCAUAGAUCUUGUUGGCCAAACAAAACCCACAAAUCAAAGAGAAUUACAAGGAUAUGAAAUCACGCAUAAGAGAGAUCAGAAGAAACUCAAAUAAGAUUCAUAGAUAAUCUGAUCAUAAAUCCACAAUUCAUCAGAUCUCGACAAACGCACCGCAAAAGAAGAUUACAUCGGAUAGAUCUCCAUGAAGAUCAUGGAGAACUUUGUAUUGAAGAUUCAAGAGAGAUAAGAAGCCAUCUAGUUACUAGCUAUGGACCCGUAGGUCUAUGGUGAACUACUCACGCAUCAUCGGAGAGGUCAUGGUGUCGAUGAAGAAGCCGUCCGUAUCCGAAUCCCCCCUCCGGCAGGGCACCAGAACGUGCCCCAGAUGGGAUCUUGCGGAGACAGAAGCUUGCGGCGGCGGAAAAGUACUUUAUACGAUCUCCUGAUUUUUUAUGGAAUUUUAGAGAAUAUAUAGGCGCAAAACCUAGGGAAAGGAGGUCCAGGGGGCCCACAAGCCUGUGGGCCGCGACCUCCCCCGUGGCCGCGGGGUGAGGGCUUGUGGGGCCCCUGGGCCCCCCUACCUUGGCUCUCCAGUCUCCUGAUCUUCUUCCAUUACGGAAAAAAUCUUUUCAGGAAUUUUAUUCCGUUUGGACUCCGUUUCAAAAUCUCCUCUGAAAGGGGUCAAAAACAAGGAAAAAACAGGAACUGGCACUUGGCACUGAGUUAAUAAGUUAGUCCCAAAAAAUAUAUAAAAGGCAUGCAAAACAUCCAAAGUUUGACAAGAUAAUAGCAUGAAACCAUAAAAAAAUUAUAGAUACAUUGGAGACGUAUCAAGCAUCCUCAAGCUUAACUCCUGCUCGUCGUCGAGUAGGGAAGUGAUAAAGAAAGAAUUUUUGAUGUGGAAUGCUACCUAGCAUAGUAGUCCUUUGCAACUUCUAUCACGUGACAUGAAUGUUCAGAUCCGUAAUAUUCUAAACAAUAGUUUGUAUUGACAUGAAAACAAUAAUACUUCAAGCAAACUAGCAAGGUAAUCAUGAACUUUCAAAAUAACAAGGCCAAUGAAAGUUAUCACUACAAAAUCAUAUAGUCUGGCUAUGCUCCAUCAUCCUCACACCACUAAUGUAAAUCAUGCACAACCCCGGUAUUGGCCAAGUAAUUGUUUUCACACUCUUACUUUCUCAAACUUUUUAUAACUAUCACGCAAUACAUGAGUGUGAGCCAUGGAUAUAGCACUAUAGGUGGGAUAGAGUGUGGUGGUGGUUGUGAGACAAUAAGGAGAAGAUGGUCACAUUGACUCGGUGUAUCAAAGGCCUAUGGAGAUACCCAUCAAUAGAUAUCAAUGUGAAUGAGUAGGGAUUGCCUUACAAGAGAUGCACUAGAGCUAUAAGUAUGUGAAAGCUCAAAAGGAAAAUUAGUGGGUGUGCAUCCAACUUGCUUGCUCACGAAGACCUAGGGCAAUUUUGAGGAAGCCCAUCAUUGGAAUAUACAAGCCAAGUUAUAUAAUCAAGAUUCCCACUAGCAUAUAUAGUGACAAAGCAAGAAUCUCUCAAUCAUGAAGAACAUGGUGCUAUUAUGAAGCACUAGUGUGGAAAAAGAUAGUAGCAUUGUCCCUUCUCUCUUUUUCUCUCUUUUUUUCAUUUGGGCUCUUAGGCCUCUCUUUUUUCUCUUUUUUUUAUUUUUGGGCGCUUUGGCCUCUUUUUUUUAUUUCCUCACAUGGGACAAUGCUCUAAUAAUGAUGAUCAUCACACUUUUAUUUACUCACAGCUUCAAAGCUCAAAAUGAUGAUGACUCUAUAGGAAAUGCCUCCGAUAGUGUACCGGGAUGUGCAACAAUCUAGCAGGGUGUAUGAUGUUGGAAACAUCUCGCCAGCUAUCUUACGAUCAUGCAAUGACAAUAUGAGAGUGAUGGCACAAGUCAUGAGACGGAACGGUGGGAGUUGCAUGGCAAUAUAUCUCAGAAUGGCUAUGAAAAUGCCAUAGUAGGUAGGUAUGGUGGCUGUUUUGAGGAAGGCAUAUGGUGGGUUUGUGUACAGGCGAGAAUUGCGCGGCACUAGAGAGACUAUCAAUGGUGGAAGGUGAAAGUGCAUCUAUACCAUGGACUCAGAUUAGUCAUGAAGAACUCACAUACUUGUUUUGAAAGUUUUUAUUAGUAAUCAAAACAAAGUGCUAAACGCAUACUCCUAGGGGAAGGGUUGGUAGGUGUUAACCAUCGCGCGAUCCCGACCUCAACACAAAGGAUGACAAUCAAUAGAUCAAUUAUGCUCCGACUUCCUAGCAUAGCGGUUCACCAUACGUGCAUGCUACGGGAAUCACUAACUUCAACACAAGUAUUUAUAGAUUCACAACACCCUACUAACAUAGAUCUUAAUAUUACCAAAUCUACGUCUCAAAACAAAUUGAGAGGAAUCAAAACUUCUCUUUCUACUCAAUGCACAUGAAGAUGGAGGUUUUUGCGUACUCUUUGGGUACCUAUCACAUUUUGUACUACUUUCAUAGCAUAAGCCAACUACCAAGUCACGCACCGCCGUGCUCUAAAAGAUAUAAGUGAAGCACAAAGAGUGAAAGUAUCUAGUUCAAAAGAUAUAAAUGAAGCACUAUGAGCAUUCUAGCAAAAUCACGAUGAGUGCAUGUCUAUCUCUCUCGAAAAGGUGUGCAUCAAGGAUGAUUGUGACACAACAAAAAGAAAAGACUCCUAAGAUACAAGACGCUCCAAGCAAAACACAUAUCGUGUGGUGAAUAAAAAUAUAGCUCCAAGUAAUGUUACCGAUGGAUUGAAGACGAAAGAGGGGAUGCCUUCCAGGGGCAUCCCCAAGCUUAGGCAUUUUUGUGUCCUUGAAUUUGUCUUGGGAUGCCUUGGGCAUCCCCAAGCUUGAGGUCUUUCCACUCCUUAUCUCUUUGUCCAUGAGAACAUCACCCAAAACUUGAAAACUUCACAACACAAAACUAAAACCGAAACUCGUGAUAUCAUUAGCACAAGAAAAUAAACUACCACCUCUUUUGGUACUGUAGCAAACUUGAAUUCUAUCUAUAUUUGUGUUGGGCUACUGUAUUCUCACUUUUCCAUGGCUAGUACCCCCGAUACUAACCAUAGUUUCAUCAAAACAAGCAACCACCUCAACAAAAACAGAAUCUGUCAAAAACAGACCAGUCUGUAGCAUUCUGUAUACUUCGUAUACUUCUGGUACCUAAAAAAUUCUGAACAAUUACGACUGCGUGGCAAAACGCAUAUAAACCAGCAGAAAAAAGAAUCAACUCAAAACCUCUUUCUGAAUUAAUAUGAAAAAUCAUCUCGUGAGCGAGAAGUUUCUGUCUUUUUUCCUGCAGGAUCAAACAACCAUCACCAAGACUAGUCAUAAAGGUUUUGCUUGGCUCAAACACAAAAAUAAACACAAAAAACACAAUCGCAACAGAAUUAUGAUGGUGUGGACACAACAAAACAGAAAUAAAAGGAUAAAUUCAUUGGGUUGCCUCCCAACAAGCGCUAUAGUUUAACGCCCUUAGCUAGGCAUUGAUAAUUAGAUGAUGCUCACAUAAAAGAUAGCAAUCGAACACGAAGAGAGCAUCAUGAAACAUGUGAAAAUCACAUCUAAGUCUAACAUACUUCCUAUGCAUAGGCAUUUUAUAGGAAAACAUAUUAUCAAGACAACCAAUAGUUGCCAUAUGCAAGGAAGAAGAAAGAGACAAUAGCAAUCUCCACAUAACGAGAGGUAAUUUGGUAACAUGAAAGUUUCUACCACAAUAUUUUCCUCUCUCAUAGCAAUUACAUGUGGGAUCAUAAUCAAAUUCAACAAAAUAGCUAUCACAAAGGAUAUUAUUUUCAUGAUCCACAUGCAUGCAAAGUUGACGCUCUUAAAAAAUAGUGGGAUUAUCAUCAACUAAAGUCAUUACUUCUCCAAACCCACUUUCAAUAUUAUUGCAAAUAUCAUUGCAACAAGUAGUGGACAUAGCAAAACUAGCAUCCCCAAGCUUAGGGUUUUGCAUAUUUUUAGCAUGAUUGUCACAAAUAGAAUUUAUAGUGAAACCAUUACAAUCAUGCUUUUCAUUCAAGGAGCCCUCGUGAAUCACUUCAUGAAUUUCUUCAUCACGAUUUUUAGAUUCACGCAUCUCAAGCAAAACUCCAUAGAGAAAGUCAAGUGCACUCAACUCACUAGCAAUUGGAUCAACAUAAUUGGAUCUCUUAAAGAGAUUAGCAAGUGGGUGAGGAUCCAUAUCACUAGAUUUUCAGCAAGCGAAGAUGCAAGGAUAUUGAAGGCACAUAGCACACAAGCAACAGAAAGGAGGCGAGAGAAAAGGGCGAACGAAAAAGGCAACUGAAAAAGGCAAAAGAAAAAGGAAAAUUGUGAAGUGGGGGAGAGGAAAACGAGAGGCAAAUGCCUAACAAAGUAAAUGAAAGAGAUGAGUUUGCAACACCUACUUGGAUGAUUUCUUGACUUGAUCCUCCCCAGCAAUGGCGCCAAAAAUUCUUCUGCUACGGCAACAAAAGUCCUUCCCCGGCAACGCCAGAAAUUCUUCUUCCUACUUCUCUUGUUUGCGUCGAUUUUCCCUUGAAGAGGAAAGGGUGAUGCAGCACAGGAGCAAUAAGUAUUUCCCUCAGUUUGAGAACCAAGGUAUCGAUCCAGAAGGAGGGUCUCGUCAAGUCCAGAGUACAUGCUCAAACACAAACGAGCUUGCACCCAACGCUUCAAAGGGUUGUCAAUCCCUUCAAGAUUGUUUGCAAAGUGAGAUCUGAAGGCGGAAAGUGCAACGAAGUAAAAAGGUGUAAGGCUGAAAAAUAUGGUGUGAAGUAGACCCGGGGGCCAUAGUGUUCACUAGAGGCUUCUCUCAAAAUAGCUAAUAUCACGGUGGGUGAACAAAUUACUGUGGAGCAAUUGAUAGAACCGCGCAAAGUCAUGACGAUAUCUAAGGCAAUGAUCAUACAUAUAGGCAUCACGUCCGAGACAAGUAGACCGAUACUUUCUGCAUCUACUACUAUUACUCCACACAUCGACUACUAUCCAGCAUGCAUCUAGUGUAUUGAGUUCAUGACGAAUAGAGUAAUGCUUUAAGCAAGAUGACAUGAUGUAGAGGGAUAAUCUCAAACCAAUGAUGAAAAUCCCAUCUUUUUACCCUUGAUGGCAACAACACGAUGCGUGCCUCGCUACCCCUUCCGUCACUGGGUGAGGUCGCCGCACAGUAUGAACCCAAAAGCAAGCACUUCUCCCAUUGCAAGAAUCAUAGAUCUAGUUGGCCAAACAAAACCCACAACUCGAAGAGAAUUACAAGGAUAUGAAAUCAUACAUAAGAGAGAUCAGAAGAAACUCAAAUAAGAUUCAUAGAUAAUCUGAUCAUAAAUCCACAAUUCAUCGGAUCUCGACAAACACAUUGCAAAAGAAGAUUACAUCAGAUAGAUCUCCACGAAGAUCAUGGAGAACUUUGUAUUGAAGAUCCAAGAGAGAGAAGAAGCCAUCUAGUUACUAGCUAUGGACUCGUAGGUCUAUGGUGAACUACUCACACAUCAUCGGAGAGGUCAUGGUGUUGAUGAAGAAGCCCUCCAUAUCCGAAUCCCCUCUCUGGCAGGGCACCAGAAGGUACCCCAGAUGGGAUCUUGCGGAGACAGAAGCUUGCGGCGGCGGAAAAGUACUUUCGAUGAUCUCCUGAUUUUUUAUGGAAUUUUAGAGAAUAUAUAGGCGCAAAACCUAGGGCAAAGGAGGUCCUGGCUCUCAAGUCUCCUGAUCUUCAUCCGUUACAGAAAAAAUCUUUUCGGGGAUUUUAUUCCGUUUGGACGCCUUUUCAAAAUCUCCUCUGAAAGGGGUCAAAAACAUGGAAAACAGGAACUGGCACUUGGCACUGAGUUAAUAAGUUAGUCCCAAAAAAUAUAUAAAAGGCAUGCAAAACAUCCAAAGUUUGAUAAGAUAAUAGCAUGAAACCAUCAAAAAUUAUUGAUACGUUAGAGACGUAUCAGUCCAAUAACCCCAAACCACCGAGCUCCUUGGGGUGACAGACCUUUUGCGAGUUGACUUUGCAUUUCCCUCCACUAAACGCCUCCUCACAGGACCAGAGCAUGCCACGGAUGAUCUUCGCAAAGGCCUUGAGGAUGCCUUUGUCAGCCUUUAAAGCCGUCAGCAAGAAGAUUGGCAUGGAGGAGAGAACGAACUUAACCAGAGCAGUGCACCCGACAUGAUUCAGGAACUUUGCUUUCCACGGGCUAAGACGAGCCACCGCCUUGUCCAUGUAGGGUUGAAGGUCCACAUGCCUAAGUAUUCCGAGGGAGAGGGGUAACCACAGGUACUUAAUGGGGAAGGAGGUCGUAGUCGCUCGGAAGUUCGCCAGAAUCUCCUCCAAGUUGAUGUUGGCGCAUUGGAUGGGGGCGAUGGAGCUCUUGGUCACAUUUGUCACAAGGCCAGAGACUACCCCAAAACUCUGUAGUAUGCUAGCAAGGCCUUCCACAUUAUGUGUCAUGGGGAAUAGAAAAAUGGCAGCGUCAUCCGCCUAGAGGGAGACCCUGGGGCCCUGAAUACCUCUAGACAUAGUAGACAGCAGGCCGGAUUCCGUAGCCUUUUCCAGAAGUCUCUGAAGUGGGUCCAUGGUGAUGUCAAACAAUAGGGGUGAGAGGGGAUCUCCCUAACGAAGACCACGACCAUGUAGGAUGUACUUCCAAGGGAUUCCGUUGAGGAAAACCCUAGAGGAGGCCGUGGUGAAGAGAGUCGUCGGGAGGCCCGCCAUCUUUGAGGAAAGAUGAGGCGUUGCAAAAGAUCUAGCAUGUAAUCCCAGCGAACAGUGUCGAAGGCCUUGGUGAUGUCCAAUUUGAUGAGAAGGGAUGGAGUUUUGCUGUGGUGUAACUGGCGGGCGGUGUUCCUGACGUACAUGAAAUUUUCGUGGAUAGUUCUAGACUUGAUGAACGCGCUGUGACUGCGGGAAACAAUGGCGUUCAUCUUCGGGCUGAGACGUCGUGCCAUAGCUUUGGCAAUGAUCUUCGGGACCGGAUGGAUGAGACUGAUGGGCCUGAAAUCCGAUAUGGACUCCGCAUCGUCCUUCUUAAGGAGAAGCACGACAUUGGUUGUGUUGAUGAUGUGGAAAUUGGACACUGACAGCUCGGAGAAGGCAUGGAUGGCGGUCAUAAGGUCAUCCUUGAUUAUAUCCCACCAAGAGCGAAAGAAGGCGAUAGUAAAACCCUCAGGGCCUGGAGCCUUGUCAGAGGGCAUGUCAUCAAUAGCCUCCUUUAUCUCACCCUUAGAGAAAGGCAUGCCCAGAUCCUCCAGGGGGUGGGUGGUGGGGUUCAGGGCAUCCCAGUUGAAGUCCAGCAUACGAGGAGGAGGCCGACCUAGAGCGUGGGAGAAGUGGUCGAAGAUCAGCCUGGAUUUAUCAUCGCGAGUCAUAGCCUAGCCAGUGUUAUGCUUGAGUCUCAAGAUAUGAUUUUUGUGCCUCCUCGCAUUAACUCGUAGAUGGAAACAUUUGGUGUUGGCGUCGCCCUCGCGAAGGUAGCAAAUUCUGGAGGCUUGACGUGUGUAGGAUCUUUCCAGAGCAGCGAGACCCUUAACCCGAUGUUUCAGGUUAGCAUGGAGCCAUGUUUCUUCGUUGGGGAGUGUGCGUGACUCUUGAGCAACAUCCAGGUGCAGAAUGCCAUCCAGGGCCAUGAGGAGUUGUAGUUUGCCAUAAGAGAAGAGGCCUUUUCUCCAAGAUCUGAGCCCAUGUGUUGUGGCCUUGAUCUUGUGAUUGAUGACAUGUACCGGCUGAGAGUGCGAGGAGGGUGCAAACCAAGCUUGUUGGACCACCUCCUUGAACCCCGACAUUUUGCUCCAGAAGGACUCGAAGCGAAAGAAAGGCGGUUUUCACGGGCCACUCUAGAUGGAAAGGAGGAGGGGACAGUGGUCCAAGAGGGACGAGGACAGGGCAUGUAGCACAUGAUUCUCGAACAUAAGGUCCGAAGCAGCAUUGCAGAAAGCCUGGUCCAGACGCACAAGAGUAGGGGUCUCCCUUUCGUUGCUCCAAGUAAACCUCCGGUUCUGCAGCUUCAACUCCUUAAGCUGACAGAUGGUGAGGGCUCUUCUGAAGAGACCCAUCAGGCGGAAGUCCAGGUUGUUGUUGUUCUUGUCCUCCGCUUGGUAGAUAAGGUUGAAAUCCCCAAUGAUGAGCCAUUUUGAGUCGUCAGAAGGCUUGGCGGCAAUAGAUUCUAUGAGAAAGGCUUCUUUCUCGGCAUGGUCUGUAGGGUCGUAGACCGUAGUGAGCUUGAAGGAGGUACCACAUGCGCGAAUGGAGAUGCUAGCCAAGAUUAAGUGAGUGCCGAGGUGCACGUUGGAGACCUCCACAUGAUCCUCGUUCUAGAGUAAGAGGAUGCCACCCCGGGUGCCGACGGUCGGACGGUGAGCAAAGGAGCGAAUUCUAAGACCGCUCUUAUAAGAAGUCGUUUGUUGAUCGAUAUGGUCGAGCUUGGUCUCUUGGAUACAAGCAAUAUGACAGUGAGUAUCGGCGAGGAAGGUGUGGAUGGUGUCUUUGCGACCUUGGUCAUUCAGCUCGCGGGUGUUCCAUUCAGUGAUGGAGAGAUCAGGUCCGAUCAUAGUGACAACAACCAAGGUGACGUGAUAACUUAAAAGACGAACACAGAGACUUGUCCACAAAGUGAUACAGAUGAUGAAAGGCGGCAGGAAAGCAAGGAACUAAAUAUUUACGUCCUAGGCAUCUGGCUCGCACCCUCCUGGACCUCCCAUGGCCAUGAGCGACUCGUCCGCUUCGGCCAUGCUACAGAAUUUGAGCUUGAAGAGCUUUGUUAGAACUUCAAUCGCCUUGUGCGGAAGCGGGGUGUUGAACUUGUCGAUGUAAUCCUUCCUCGCAACCAGCAGAGGGACUCCUUAAGCAGCAACACCCAUCUUGGUGUUCAGCACAUGGACUGCCUUAUCCAUGGCCUGCAUUUUUGUCUUGUUGAUCAAACGGGCACUGUGCCUGGUUUCAGUAGUGGGAUGCACCUCGGGUAGCUUAGGCAUCAGCAGUGCAGGCACAGGGCACAGAGGAUAGGUGCCUGAGGGCGCACACAAAGGUUUUUGCCGGGGGUUGGAGGGCGUUCUUCGGCCACGGAGUUGCCAAGGACCUGCCUGGCCUCGUCCUCAGCGGCGUCCCCGAUGGCGUCUACCCAAGAGUCCGACACCAUAGCCGGUGAGAGCAGCGGAGAUAGAGCCACGUGUAGGAGUGGCGAGGCGAGGGGCGUUGCCGAGUCGUCCAUCACGUCGUCCAGCCAAACGCUGGGGAGGGGAGGCUCGUUCUGCACUUGUGGUGUGGGCGAGGCGAGUCGCGCGAAGCCCAUGGUGAAGGCCGACGGCAGCACCUUGAUAGCGAACGUCCAGUCCAUGCAAGCCGCGUCACAUGCAAUGACGGAGGAGAGUUUCUUCCGUGCCAGGGAGUCACAGGCCAGGCUGCUAGGAGCACAACUGUGCUGCUCGGUGAUGUGGCGAUGGUGACCAUCAUGGUGGCCAGAGGAACAACCCGAACUGCGUCCAUAGGAGCGACCCCUCCCUCCAGGACGGUGAUGGCCUGCAGACUUGUUGCGGGAGAAGCGAGAGGAGUUGCGACGUGAGGACUCAUGGCGAGGUCCUCGGCGUUCCUCAUUGUCGUCGUCGUCUUCUCGGUGGUGGCAUUUGCACAUCACCCUGUCAUCGCAGCAAGAGCCGUGGCGUGAACGGGUGUGACGAUGAUCCUUCGUCUCCAUAGAGUGUGAACCGCGUCGGUCUGUGGUCCUGGAGAGGGAGCGAUGAGACGUGAUUCGUUCUUCCUCCGGCAAACGUGCGCGAGGCUGGUCAUCGUGCUCGCCACGAGCGAUAGAGAGCGAUGCUUUGACGUCAGAGCAAUGCUUGUUUGAUUUGGAGUUCUUCUUCUUCUUCUUCUUCGAUCAUAGGAUGGGUUCCAGGAUGACAACCUAGGAUUAGCAAGGAUGGGUGUCGCUUUUAUCAUUUGGUUUUGUUCAUAGUCAGGCCCUGCUCUUAUGUAUGGUGAUUGCUAUGGAUGUUUGCGUUGAUAUGAUCUGGAUGUAGCUUGUGGAGAGUGCAAGUCAAUUCCAUACACUCAUCUCGUCUUUACAUGUACUUGUAAUGAUAUCCAUUCUUGUGAAACAACGAGAUGCACUUCUAUCCCCAUUGAGGCCUCGACCCAAAAAUAAGGAUAGGGCCACAUCUUGGGUGUUACAUCAUGUUAUUUACAUUACAUGUAGAGUCAACUUCUUAUUCCAACCUCAAUCUAUUUGUUGGCAAGCACCAUGUGGUGGGGAAAUUUCCAGGCACAUAUAUUUCGUCAAAUAUAUUUGAUCGUGAUGCAUUAUUGUUGACAAGUAUCUCCACGAUAAGUACAUUGGGAGGCGAAACAUUAAGCUUUGAGUAUAUGCUUUGAGUAUUAGCAAUCAUAGAAGACUAUAUGAUAAUUUAGUGUGUGGAUCUCUUACUUAUACUUGACGAUUCAUUGCAAUUGUUUGAUAACUAUGAGCAUAUGUUGUUAAGUUUCAAGAGAAUGCAUUGUUUGAACCUUGACCUUGGAGUUGAUUGCUACUAUAUCAUGAUGAUUUUUAUGAGAAAAAGUUUUUGGUCAUGAUGCCAGAAAAGUGACUAAAUUUAUCAAUGAUCCAAACUAUUCACUAUGCUAGCAUUCACACUUAAUAAAUUACUUCUUUUAUCAUUUACUCGAGGACAAGUAGGAAUUAAGCUUGGGGAUGCUGAUACGUCUCCAACGUAUCGAUAAUUUAUGAAGUAUUCAUGCCAUACUUGCCUAUGUUUACAAUACUUUUAUAUGGGUUUGAUGCACUUUAUAUGAUUUAUUUAGAACUAACCUGGACUGACACUGUUUUCAACAGAAUUACCGUGGUGUUGUUUUUGUGCAAAAAAUAAAAGUUCUCGGAAUCACCCGAUUAUUUUAUGAAUUUUUCUGAAGAAAAAUAAGAAAUACCGGAGCGAAGAACCAUAGGAGGGGAGCCACAUGUGGGCCACAAUAUAACAGGGCAUGCUCACCCCUCGGCGUGCCCUAAUAGCUUAUGGGACCCUCAUGGCUCUGUUGCACGUGAUUCCAAUGCUAAAAAAUUGUAUAAAUCUCAAAAACCCCAGAGAUUACGAGAGCACUUCCCCUCUGCCAACGCAACUCUCUAUAUCAAAGAAAAAACAUCUUGAGCCUUUCUAGUACCCAGUCAUAGGGGGGAAGCAUCUUCAGUGGCCAUCUUCAUCAUCCCGGCAGAGGCCAUGAUGAGGAGGGAGUAGUUCACCCUAGGGGCUAAGGGUUUGUACCAGUAGUUAUGUGUUUGAUCUAUCUCCCUCCCUCUCUCUCUCUCUCUCUCUCUCUCUCUCUCUCUCGUGUUCUUGAGAUGUCCUGAUCUUGAUGUAUCACGGGCUCUGUUAAUAUAGUCGGAUCAUAUGGUGUUUGUUCCUUGCUAUCUUGUUGUGAUGAAGUGAAUCUUUCCCUUUCAUAUCUUGUUAUGUUGCAUUGAAUAUUGAACUUGAGAACAAUUCAUGUAUGUCUUGGUACUCAACUUGCAGAUUUCCGUGGUGACAAUGGGGUAAUCUAUGCAUAUGGGUUGAUACACAUUAUUGUCCUACCAUCCCUGAUAGAAAUCUUGGGGUACUCUUUGAAGUUCUUUGCGUUGGAUUGAAUAUGAUGAAUCUGAAAUAGUUUGAUGCAUGUCGAAUAAUUAAUCCACGGAUACUUGUUGUGACAUUGGAGUAUCUAUGUGACAUUAGAGUUGAUUGAUAUGUAUCAUAGGUGUUAUUCUAGUACGAACUCUAGGUCUGUUUGUGGCACAUAUAGGAAUAUCCCAAAAUAUUGAUAAAAAGAAUAACCUUGAAGUGGUUCGCUGCCUACGACGACUUCUUAUUUUCUUCUCCGCUAACAAGAACUUUGGAGUGAUUCUUUAUUGCAUGUUGAAGGAUGACCAUAUGAUUCUACUAUGUUAGCAUUAUUGAGAGAUUGCACUAGUGCACCUAUACAAUUUUCCAUUGUGUUGGGUGUGUUGGGAACAUAAAGAGAUUUCUUGUAUUUGAUUGCAGGUUUCUUUGAGAGAUACCAUCUUCAUUCUACACCUCCCACAGAUUGAUAAAACUUAGGUCAUCCACUUGAGGGAAAUAUAUUGCUGUCCUACAAAACUUUCCACUGGGAGGCCAACAAUGUCUACAAGAAUGUAGUUGCAUAGUAGACAUUAAGGGGAAUCAAAUUUUUCUCUUGGUGGAAGUGUAGAUCGAGGCUUUCUGCUCCAAACCCUAGAGUAGCAACAAGAUUUAAUGGCUAGUGAGGGAGAUUAGGCGAAAAUGAGCUUAGGAGCAAAAACAGAGCUUUGGGGGAAAAGAGGUGAGUCAACUUGGCGAAGAUGACUCACUUAUAUAGUGGGAAGAAACAUCCAGAUGUUAUGCCAUUCUGCGCAUGCAUAAGCAGUAUUACCGCUCUGAUGAGAGGUCUUCCUCUUGCACGAAAGUUCUUCGCACAUAGUGCAACUGACGAGCUGAACGAGGCGGUAGUGCCGCCGGAGUGGUACUACCGCUCCCACCAGCGGAAAUUCCUCUUAGUGCUACGAUAACAAGAGAACUGGCAGUAGUGAAGUGAGGUAGGACGGUAGUAUAGCCCAGAGUGGUACUACCGCCCUCUACAACCGCUCGAGUGUCAUUGAGAUGGAUAGUGCCAAAGUCAUAGCAAUGAAGUUUAAAAUAUUAAGGAAAGGAUCAAAAAAUUGGGCCACGGGCAUUUAUGAUUUGAAGAAAAUCAUAGCAAAUACUAACUUCAUGAUUCUUUCUUAUGAUACAUGUGAGGAAUUCACAACACUAACCUUGGAAGAAAAUAGUGCAGAGAUACCUUAAAAAAGCACCUGGAAACUAUUAUGCUGCAAUAGAGAAUUUGGAAAGGAAGGGCCACAAUAAGGAAAAUUAAGAUGGGAGAAGCUACCACCACAUAUUUCCAAGACAAAGCCACAUUUUAAUUUAGGAACAAUUGCAUUUCCAUGUUGCAACAUGUGGAUGGAAAUGAACAUUUUGAUGUUGCUGCUAAAGCUGCCAUUUUAUUUAGAUAUUUCAAAGACAGAAUUGGAACCUGUAAUCAAUCCGAGAAUCAUCUUUUGCUGCAUCAUCUAUUACAACUCUUGGAUUGUCUUGAAGAUCUAGAAACACCAUUCACCAAUGAGGAAAUUGAUAGGGUGAUAAAACAAAUGCCAUCAGAAAAGUCACCAGGGCCAUAUAGCUUAAAUGUUGCUUUUCUCAAACAUUAUUGGGAGAUCAUAGCACCUGAUUUUUACAAGUUCCUUGAAGAUUUUCACUCAGGCAAGGUCAAUAUAGAGAGAAUUAACUACUCAUUCACCACUCUCAUCACAAAGAUUGAUUCCGUGUCCAGACUAACUGAGUUCAGGCCUAUAUCUCUACUGAAUUGCACACUCAAGAUCAUCACUAAGAUUUUAGCCAACAUACUCCAAAGAUAUUUUCUCAGAUUGGUUCACAAAAAUCAGUAUGGCUUUCUAAACAAUAGAUGUAUCCAAGACUACUUAGCAUGGUCAUAUGCAUAUGUAUACCAAUGCAAUCAAAAUAGGAAAGAGCUCAUCUUGUUAAAACUGGACUAUGAGAAAGCAUUUGACAUGCUUAAUCAUGAAACCAUUAUUGAAUUUUUGAAUGCCAAAGGUUGUGGCAUAAAAGGAAUUCAAUUCAUAAAGUUGAUAUACGGGACUGGAUAUUCUUAUAUCCUACUGAAUGGAGUGCGUGGCAAAUAAUUCCUGUGCAAAAAAGGAGUCAGACAAGGACAUCCUCUGUCACCCCUGAUAUUUGUGAUUGUUGUUGAUAUGCUUCAAACAAUGCUCUAUGAAGUCAUGAAUAAUGCAAUUGUGGAGUCUCCCCUCACACAUGCCUCAUGCCUUGAUUACCCCUAUCAGGACCCCGAUCUUAAGCCAUACAAAUCUAGCAUUCACACCUCAUAUCACUUUGCGGCCUCAGCAUAGUAAACUCCACGGCUGCCACCUUACCUUGGUCGGGACCGCUUGCGUAUUUUGUCUCAAGUAUAUGAAUAUGUCGCUAGCAAUCAUAUGUUAGUGAACCCGGGUAGACAUGACUAGUUAUAAAUCCAAGUGGCACAUCCGUACGGGGAUAUGCAUACGUAAGCCAGCAAUGCAGGUGUCGAUCAGCAACUGCGUGUAGACGAGUCAUGGCAAGCUACAUGGACUCCGUUACACCGUGUGACAUUUCCCUGUAGGGACACACACAACAACAAAUAAGGAUACACGUCGCUCAAUCAAUGUGUUCGGAGUAGUAGAAAGCUACCAUGAAUCGAUGGAAGCACAAAGAGGCAUUUCCGUGUAAAGAGGGCUACUAAAGGCACACAACUAGGUGUCGAAUCCCACACAUACCAAUGCAUUUCAAACAUACACGCAAUAUGCACAAUAUGUGUAGAUACAACAUGGCAUCACAACAUAACUCUACAAUAUAACAUUUAUUUAGAAGGCUCCAAACAUCCAACAUAGUAUAAUGUUACUAGCAGGGGGUCGGAUGACCCAACAUCGAGAGCAUACAAACAACAAGCGGAAGUUACAUGUCUCGGUACAGACAUCUAUUAAAAAUGGUUGGAAGAGCCUGAAAAGCUACAACAACCCUAGCAAAGGAGUCAGACCUCUGUCUGGGACUCCCAAGCUAAUCUGGUCAAUGUCGAACAUGCCACCGAAAUCAGAAGUGAGACUGAAGUCUCCACUGCAAAAACAUAAAUAAGAAACCGUGAGUACAAAGGUACUCAGCAAGACUUACAUCGGAACUAUCUACAAAUGCAUCAUUGUCAACAAAGGGAGUUGUGGGAUUAUUGCAGCAAGCCAACUUUGACUCUUGGCUAAUCUGUACUAUGACCACGAACACUUUAUUUGAGGUGGGCUAGCGCACACGAGUCCACAUAUUCACCAAAUGAAUACACCACUAUGGAUCCACUCCAGUAUUCUUACGAGAAGGCCAUCCAUAGCACUCACACUUAUCUUGCGCAUUUUAGAGUAUCCAUUUCAAUUGUCUAUGCACCACAUAAGUUUCCAAGUAGUCCAUAUCCGAGGACGCGGCUAUUUGAACAGAUUAAUUUACACUGCAGGGGUAUACUUUUUCACACACGCUCUCACCACUUAUCACCAUAUACACGUCAUGCAUCUCAGCAACCUUCAAGAGAAAGCACUGGCAUGCGUGUCGGCCACGACCUAACUAACCACGCAAGACUCUAGUCUAGGUUUAUUGCCUAUUUGAGACGGAACCGCAAGGAAGACCGGCCGAAGUUUCCAUUACGGCCCCAAACGAUGUGUACAUGGUUCCCAAGCCCACGUCUAUUGAUGGUUCUAUGCUUGGUACACCCAGCCAUGAGUGCAUCUACCGCGCCAUAGCCUACCCCUCCGGUCAAAGCUAUGCAUGUCUACCAACACAUCCUAAAAACACCAGAAAUUAGUUGCAACUCUUGGACAGAGAUCAAGGCGAUUAAUAAGUCAAGAGAGUCAAUUAAGAAUCCCAAUGUGCGGUAGUAUCUUGUCUUCGAUAACAUACAUAUAACUUAGUUCUUAAGGAUGGUCUCAAUGAGACAACCCACCAUGUGCUCCUACAUGGCUUCUCAUCACUACCUUUACCAAAUCGGAUUCACACAGUUAUCUCUCACACAGUAGGACAUCAACACAACCAUUCUGAUUCAUCGCCCAGAUGGAUCAGACCCGACACGAUUCUAAGCAUAGCAGGCACAGUAAGCAAGCUUGGAUGAGUAAGCACAACAAGGCUUAAGCAGUUGCUACUCAUGCUAAGUAGUUUCAACUAGUUACUAUCACAAGGACAGGUCAUGCCAAGGAAUGGAUUCAAAUACCAAGAACAAGUAACAGUUGAAUCGUUGUUGUCCUAAUGCAUUUAAAAGAGAGCAGGAGCGAGAGAGUGGGAUUGUAUCGGAAUGCUUAAGGGGGGGGUUGCUUGCGUGACAGUUCUGAAGAUAUAACUUCUCUUCAUUAGUGUCAACGAUCACAUCAUCGAAAUCAUGUCUACUGGGACGGAACAUCACCAACAAAGAAGAAGGAACAUAUUCAAUGCAAUGCAACAACAUGAUGUAUGAUAUGACAUGUUAAAGUACUGAACUGACCUAAUACAUUAUUUAGUCUUAUUAAUUGAAGUGGAAUCCAAAUAUACAUGAAAUUCCAACACCAAACUAUUUACCAACAUUUUCCUAAUAACCAUUUGUCCUAGAUGGAGAUGUUAACUUUCUCAAACAUGCAUGAACAUGGCAUAAACAAAUUCCUUGCAUUUUCUGAUAAUUUUUAUAUACAAUUUAUUUUCAUUGGACAUACGGUUGAAGUUCUACAAAUUUACUAAAUUUUAAACAUUUCUGAAAUUAAUAACCAUUUUUAUUCCAGAAAAUCAUUCCCUCGUCAGCAUCACCUCAUCAUGACAUCAACGGGUCAACUCGGCCAGUUUAGGUCAAACCUCACAAGUGGGACCCGCAUGCCAUAGGCAUAGGGUUAAACCGCUUUUAGUUAAGACCAAUUGAACCUAUUAGGGCGCCUGGCCCCACAUGUCAGUGUCAGAGGUGUCUAGUUAAUUGGUAAUUAGGCUUAACCUAAUUACCUGACAGGCUGGACCCACCAGUCAGUGGCCCACGUUGGAAAGGUUCGACGCCGGUGUCCUCUAGCAACGGUGGAGUCCGCGCUAGAGGACACGAGGAUGGCGAAGACGGGAACCAGGGCGUAGCCCUCAUCCUCCCAUGUGUGGUGGGCCAUCUAGGGGCUGAGGGGA